AAAUAUGAACCUUGCUCUAUCUUUAUCAAUUUUUUUCUCAAAUUAAAAUUACAUCCAAUGGCAAAACUAUAAAAAAAACCUGACUUUCAAGGUUUGGUGCUACCUAUAGCUUGGUGGCCGUGAUUUGGAGUAGAGAUGGUCAGAUCUAGAAGCUAUGAUAGUAAAGAGCACGAUGGUAACUAUAGAUUGGUCAGACUUGCAAUGGUUUGUCGUGAAAUCCGACCUGAACUGGCGACUGUCUAUGGUGAUGUGGAUUACGAUUUUAGGGUUGUUAUGCAAUGGUUCUCGGUUAAUGCUGGACAAUGGCAUUGAAAAAUAUUUUGGCGACUUAAGGGGAGCCAGACAGAGGUGACAAUCGACGAAAAGGGUGGUGGUUUCACGACGGCAAGUUGGUGGAGUGCUUGCCAGUUCGGGUGAUUUGUAACAAUUACAAGUAGCGGUUAAGGGCGAGGUUGGUUGGGGUUUGGUCGGUAAUGGGCUGACGACUCUGAUGGUUGCAGUGCUUGGCGGUGAUGGUUGCAAGAUUGUGAAGAUAGUGGUGGCGGCGUUGUUUUUCAAUCUUGGUUUUUUUUUUUUUUGUGAUGGAUUCGAUGAGGAUGAAUAUAGGAAGCAGGAAAAGCUUUGCUAUUGAUAGAGAAUUGCUUUGAUACCUAUUGACAGAGCGAGAUAGCAGCAGUAGCUUAAUAAUAUAAAUAAGCAUUAGAUAUAGUUUUAGUAUCGAACCAAGCCAAUGCGAUUAUGUUAUGUUCUAAUUAAAAUAUAAUUAGAUCUCGUUCUAAUCCAAACGACUCAAUGAGAUUUUAACAACACUUUUCAAGAUUAGACGACGUUUUAAUAUAUCUAAACAACUCUAUAAGAGAGAUUUUGAUAGCUAAUCCCAAAAGAAUUAUAAAAAAAGAGUUUUUUUUUAAUUAAUUAAAAGGUUAUAAAAAUAAUAACAAGAUCUCCCUAUUUAUAGUAAACCUACCUACACAAGUUAACUAAAAAAAUAUAAUUAAAUCACAAUUAUAAUGAAAAUAAAAGAAUAAAAUAUAUAUCAUAAUUGACUUUAAAUAAAAAUAGAAAGUAUGAAAAUACCUAAAAUAAUAAAAUUUUAAAAUCUUAAAAUAUUGUCCUACUUCAUCAUGUGUCAAUACUAUUUUAUUAGUAUGAUUAUUAAUCUUUAAUUAAACUAACAUAAAGUCUUUAUGGCUCAAUACUUGUAUAAAUUAUUGGACUGUCAAAUUUAUGUAAUGUACAUGUAGGGUAUUGAAAAUUAUUAGAUUUUAUUUAAAACAUUAGUUACAAGUAAAAAAAUUAAAUACCUAAAUUAUUAUAUGCAAGAACACAUUUAUUGGGUAAUUUGUUUAUUGUAUGUCAUAAGGGUAUUAAGACUGAUGUUAAUGUAACUUAAAUGAUCAAAGAAACCUAAACAAGAAAAUAGUUAUAAAAAUGAUUUAAUUGAUUAAUUAUAAAAAAUUUAUUGUUGAUUCAUAUUUAUUAGAAAGUGAUAUAAGCUUAUUAUAAAUGUGCUCUGGAAGUGGGGUGCGUUUACUAAGGUGAAAAUAUUCACACAGCCCCACCAAUCACUUCCCCUUAAUUCACCUGGUUGACAAAAAAAAAAAAAAAAAUUUAAUUACGACAAAUAUAACAUAUUUAUAUUAAAAUAAAUAUCAAGUCAAUAUAUUAUAAUUAAUCAAAUAUUUAAACGUGUAAUAAAUAGGCUAAGCGUAUUGGAAUAAAACUUUAAACUUAAACCCGACAAGAUUAGGAAAUGAACUUACUGGCUCGUGUUGUGUUCACAUUGGAUUCUCAUAUCGCUGACCCCUUCCCCACACGCAUUCGUUCAACGAACUUAUUUCACAAUUAUUGACGUUGUUUUUUUUCGUAGACUAAUAAGUUAAGAACGUGUUUGAUUGAAAAUGGUCACCAGUCACGUCUUAUCAAAUAAAGGGGAGUUACGUGCCGCUGUAUUUUUGCUCGUGACUUGAAAUUUGGUAUAAUGGUAACAAAAAUAUUGUCAUAUUUUUAUUCGGAUGUGACAUUAUUUUUAUCAUUAUGGCAUGCAUCUUUUUCUUAAGAUGUCUCUGUCAUUUUCUAGGAGCUUUAAUAUUCCUCGGAACCAUAGAACCAUACGUAAUUGCGGACUUGCGUCUGUAAUUAAGAACACCUACCCAGAGAUUUGUUCCCUUCAAUUCAUUGGUACAACAAUUUCUCUCAAGUUAAUUAUAAUCAUGAUGUGGCUCUUAAUUCACAAUUGAUUGAAUUGGUCUGAUGAUUGUUUCAUAUGCCAAAAAGUAAAGCUCAAAUCAAACGUAACUUGGAGAAAAUCAAAGGCUUCAUCAUUUUCAUGUUUUUAUUGGGUCUCAUAGUUUUUCCUUGUUGGAAAUUUCGAACGUGAAAAGAAGUUAAAUGCUUUUAUUAGUUUAUAUAAGAAACUGAUUGUCAUGGCCGAGAUAAAUCUGAAUUUCCAUUUUUAUUAUGGAUACGGGUGGGAUGAAUCAUCCAACCCAUAUAUGCUCCGUUACUACAACUACUAACCAAUAACAACAAUUGCUUGAUUAAUGUUUUGUUUGAAGACUUCAAUCAAUUUUGAUUCAACCGAGAUCAUAACUUUGUCAACAAUCCGUUGGUGUGAUAUGAUGAUGAUGAUUAUUAUUAUUAUUGUGUAAUUUUUUUUUAUAUAUAAUUAUUUUGUAAUUGUUAGAAAGAAAGAAAAAGAAAAUUCUUUGAAGUGAUAUUUGUUGAAGCUUUCGCUUUUCAAUUUCUUGCAUAUUUAAUGAUUUAAAUGAUGUGGGAAUUUCCUCAAGCAAAAAAAAAAAAAAAAAAAAAAAAGAUGUGUGAGAUAUUCUACAGAGUAUUGAUCAAGUGUGCGAUUAGAGGCGUGAUUACACGUGUGUGAUGAUAUAAAAUGUGGAGCUGCUGAGUGCUGACCCUACGAGUUCGUUAUUUGAGAUCUUGACAUGCAUGCAGUCGCACUUGAUAAAAUGCGUGAGUGUUUCCACCUGAUUAAGAUUGAUAUUCAAUGUGACAAUCAGCACAAAGAAAAAUUGACACGCCACGUAUUUGUAAUUAAGUUCCCUUAGAUAUUCUUCUGUGAAUGUGUGACAUGUCAAACACGGAAUUUUGAAUGUUUUUAUUGUAUUGUUGAUGAGUUCUACUUUUCCUACUUGAAAAUUAAACUGCCUUCAAACAUUCAACAAGUUUUUAUUUAAUCUACUUUGUAUUUAAAAAAAAAAAAUCAACUUUGUAUUAAUCUUUGGUUAAACUACACAAAACCUGCUUUAAACAGUUCAUUUGAAAUGCUUUCUUGAGAAGCAUCUAAUAAAUACUCUUAUCCAAAAAGAAAUUUUGGAGAUACAAAUAAGAAAAGCACUUAAAAAAUUUGAUGCUUUUAGAAACAUCAUGAUGUAGGACGUUGUUUUAGGAAUUUUAAGAUUCUAGAAUUUUAUUAUUUUAGGACUUUCUAUUUUAAUUAGAGUCAAUUAUGAUAUUUUAUUAUUUUAGAACUUUCUAUUUUUUUUAGAGCCAAUUAAGGUAUGAUAUUUAAUUAACUUAGGGAAAUAUCUUUUAUUUUUAUUAUAAAUGUGAUUUAAUUUCCCAUUUUUAAGUUAACAUAGGGAAAAUAUAUUUUAUCUCUAUUAUAAUUGUGAGUUAGUUUUUUUUUUUUAUGUCAAUUUAGGGAAGUGGGUUUCCUCUCUAUUAUAAAUAGAGAGGUCUUAUCACUGUUUUAAGAACUUUUUUUUUUUUUAGAUUCAUUUAUUCUAUAAAACUUUUAUUUAGAAAUUUGUUUUCUCUAUCUUCUUUACAAUUCUGCUUCGUCACAGCAUAAAUUGAAAUUAAUGUUUUUUCCCAUGACUUCUGCCCUUAACAACUCUAACUAGUAGUAAGAAAAUUGAUUGUACAACUUCAUUUAGAAGGGAUAAUUUUAAAUUACCUCUCAUGAAAUGAUAAUGUUUAAAAUGUUCUUAAAUUAUUAUAAAUAUCAAUUUAUCUCCUAUUUUGUUAAGAAGAGAAAUAAAUUUUUAUCGACCCAUUCCUAUUUUUUCUUUAUCUUUUGAACAAAAUGAAAAAAAAUUUAAAGUUUACAAUAAUUUGAAUAGUUUUCUGGUCAUUCAAUGCGGAGGGUAAUGUGAAAUUUACCGUUUCUAGAAUUAAUUUGAGUGAAAAGUUGUGUCAGUAUUGGUUCACUUCAAUGGUGGUUGAUAUGUAAACAAACUGCUAGCUACCAGCCACCAGCCACCAGCAAUUUUUUUUUUGUACAAAAGGGCUCUAAAAAGAGCUAAGGAAAAACAAAACGUGGGUAACCUACCCCAUACAUAUCAUGCUGAAGGUAAGCAAUGAUACCAGGAGGAGGAUUUGGGAACAAAUGAAGACCCAAAGGAAAAGAUAGGGCAUGGUUUGCUAAGAAGUCCGCUGCAAAAUUAGCCUCCCUGUAAACAUGAUUAAUGAUAAUGCGCCAGCUGCGACUAAUGAGAUCUUUAAUUGACUUAAUCAAAGGAGAGAGCUCAUUAGUUGUGAUCAUAGGAGUGGUGACUAGGUGGAGAAUACAGAUGCUGUCAACUUCAACUUGUAACCAUCGGAUCCCAUUUUGCCAAGCAAUAUUUAAACCUUGAUAUAGGCCCCAAAACUCAGCUACUGUAACCGAGCACGAUCCAAUAUUCAUUCCAAAGCCGGCCACCCAAGCCCCAUUAUGAUCUCUGAUAAGACCGCCUGCACUUGCUUCCCCUGUCUUUUUUGCAGCACCAUCAGUAUUUAACUUACACCAAGGCCAGAAUGGAGGAGACCAACAUAUCCACUUCGCAACCCGGCGAUUAUUCAUGCCCAUCGGUGUGGUACUAAUCCGUUGAAAUUCUGUAGCUUUUAUCUUGACUUCAGAUAUCAUAGUAGCACAAUCCCAAGUCAUGCCAUGAAAUAAAAAUUUAUUACGCCAAAACCAGAGACGCCAUAUAGCUACCCCAAAGAAAAUAUUCCAACUGAGAUCUGAUCCAACCUGGUCCGCGUUCGUCAAGUUAUAGCUCAUCCAGUCUUUCAAGUUCAGAAAGAAAAAAUAUUGACGUUGAUGUAUCGGGAGGAUGGCGUACCAAAAUCUCCUAGCUACCAUGCAGUCCCGUAACACAUGCAAAGUAUUCUCAUCUCCAUCACCGCAACGAUCACAACUGCUAUCUAAGUGAACAUGUCUUCUUGAAAUCUCAGCUUUUGUUUUCAAUCUAUUAUGCAACACCAACCAAAGGAAAACACGAAUAAUUUGAGGACCAUUCCAACGCCAUACACAGCUCCAUAUUUGAUCAUCCUCUCCCUUAAUCUCUUUGGAAAGAGCAUCAUAUGCUGAUUUUACAGUGAAAUUUCCUUUUUUAGAUUCAGACCAAAAAAUCUGAUCUUCUCCAUAGCCUUCCAUUGGUGGUCGAAAUGAGGCAAUUCGGAGAAGGAUACUGUUGGGGAUGAGGCAGCCACCAGCAAUUUGAUAGUAUUAUAAACUCCCAUUUCAAAAUUGCAAUAUUCCUGAAACCACAACGCCACUAUACGAAACUGAGCCUUAGAAGUUAUAUGCUGAAUGUCUUUAACAUUUAUGUUGAGAAAGAAGAAAAGAAGACAGAAUGAGAAGAAAAUAUACACACAGCAUUCAAGCAUAAUUCUCUAAUCUGAGUUAUUACAAUAAUCAGUCGGAAUCCACACUGAAUGGAUAGAGGUCAGCGCCAGACGUGGAAGAACGUGUAGGUGGCCCAUAAAUUGACGACGUGCUUUGUAUAGUACUUGCAGUUUUUUCUAUGCUGAAUUGGUAAUAUCUCCUCAUUGCUUCUGACUUGGUUUCAUCGACGUCUGAGAUACUUGAAUCUGGAACUAAAUCUGGAACAUCAACACCGCAUUCGAGCAUGCUUAAGACCGAAGACAUUGAAGGCCUAUUUGUAGGAGAAGCACUGGCACACAGCAGGGCUACAUUGAUCAUCACCAUCAGUUGUUCUUUGUCAAAAUUUGAACCAAGAUCUGUAUCAACUAGCUCCAUUAAAUUUCCUUGCUCUUUCAAUACAAGCGCCUGAUUGAAAAGAAGUUGAAACAACAUAUAUUUGGUUGGUGAUAAAUUCAAGAUCAAACAAUGCAAAAUAAGAGAUUGUAGGAGCCUAAAUGUUACCCAAUCUAGAAGAUAAAUUUUAUCCUCCUUUGUCCUGGAAAAAACGUUGCUUCUACCGCUGACAAUUUCCAAGGCAACAAUUCCGAAACUAUAGACAUCCGCUUUCUCUGUUAAAUGGCCCCGUGUUGCAUAUUCUGGUGCCAUAUAUCCACUACAAGGUCGUGAAUUUGAAUAUUAAAUUCAUAUAUAAUGUAUGAGAAGGAAAGUGGAAAACAUUGAUGAGAAAUUAGUAUGCAGCGACUCACAUUGUUCCGGCAACUCGGGUGCUUAUGUGGGUGUCAUCUUCUUCAUCCAGCUUGGCUAAACCAAAAUCGGAUAUUUUAGGGUUUAAGUCCUUAUCAAGAAGCACAUUGGUUGCUUUGAUGUCUCUAUGCACAAUCUUUAUCCUUGAUUCUCCAUGUAGAUAAGCUAAACCUCUCGCUAUGCCGAGGCAAAUCCUGCGCCUUGUUGGCCAAUCCAACUUCAACCGAUGCUCUUCAGGACCUUCAAAUCAUUCAAGAAAGACGAUACAUGACUAGAAUCUAAUACCACAUAUGUAUGUAUGUGUGAUUUAUGUGGAAACCGAUACUGUGUAGUUGAAAUAUAUACCAAACAUGGCUCGAGCAAGGCUGUUGUUUUCCAGGUACUCAUAAAUAAGCGACAAUUGAUUUCCUUCCAUGCAACAUCCAUAAAGCUUUACAAGAUUAGGGUGUUGCAAAGCAGAAAUCAUGCCAAUCUCAUUAAUGAAUUCUCGAUUUCCUUGCUUUGAUUUGGAAGAAAGUUGCUUGACUGCGAUCACUGUGCCAUCUGCCAAAAGGCCCUGCAUUUUUAAGAAAUGCGGUCAGAUUUGAAAAACAAAAAGGAAUUGUUUCGAGCAAAACACACCUUGUAAACAGGGCCAAAACCGCCUUCUCCAAUCUUGUUAUCAGGGGCAAAGUUGUUUGUGGCAGCUUUAAUUUGCUUCAAUGUAAAAGAAGCAGUAUGCAAGUCUACACCCCGCAGCUCUGUGGAAGAAAUUACUGGGUUAAUAAAAAUGAAACAUAAGCAUAACAAAAUGAUCUGUAAAAUCAAGAUAUCAUGAUUUGCAUAAUCUUUUAAAGACUUGAAUUAGAGAAUUAUUUAUUUGUAAGAAAUAUUUGUUAAUUAAUCAGUGCACUACCUCGUUCCAGAGUAUUUUCUGGUCUAAAACAGCCCUUCCACUGAAGGAUACCCACCACAACUAGGAUUAUAAAAAAUGCUGCAGCCACUGCGAUUCCCAAUGCUUUGCCUACUGAUAUACUACUGCUUCCAUCUUCUGACGGGGGUGUGAAAUCUGCUUCACCUAGAAAGUUACACAUCUCUCCAAUGUGAGGGUUAUCUAAUUGAAAAUCACUUAAAUACAAGGAAUUCCCGUAGAAAUAACCUUUGGGAAUUUGUAAAAUCUAAGGCACUUACGAAAUGGGAAAUUAUCAAAUUAGAUGAGAGAAGCCUUGAGUUAGUACUUAACAUACCAGGAUUGUGAAGAGAAAUAGCUGAUAUGAGAGGACCAUAAUCUCCUUUAAAUGGAAUUUCAGUUGUUCCUUUCCCAGCCCAAUAGAGACGGAUCUCCAUGGUCCCGUUGGUCACGGCAGCAGAAAAUGGUUUUACAAUUGCUUUACCAACACCACCAGCUUCAUUCUCAAUAUUGAAAUCCUUCAGCACGAGCUUCCCCUGCAACCAUACUUCCAAUUAGCUUAACCUUUUAUGCAUGUUGAAGUAAAGUCCAAGAUGGACAAUAUCUGUUACAUCCGUUUUUAUUUAAGGAAGCUUUUGUGAAAUCCAAAAGCGAAUCCAUGAGAGUAAUUAUGUGGUCAUUACUGAAUCCCAACUGAAAAAGCUUGUUGUGUAACAGCUUUCUGAAUCCCAACGGAAAUUAAAAUCUACAUAAGGCUGAACUGGAAAAGAUUUGCUAGCUCAAUAUUCAAGAAAAGAUGUAAUAUCAACCGUGAUUAAUUGGGGGUGGUGAGGUAGUAUUAAGCAUUAGUCACCUGAAUGUAAACAUCAAAUAUACGCUUUCCAAAACUGCUAAAAUUUUUGUCAUCAGUGAACAGUAUCUCUGCAAAGUGAAGGUUGACUGUGUAGUUUCCAUUCCCCAGACAGAAUCCAUAGUAAGUUAGAGAUAUGGCAGAAAGGCGGGCGGUUGUGUAUAAUUGAGAAUCGCUCAUCAAAAGUCUAGACGUAUUUGUCUGAAUGUAAGUGUCUGUUUUGAUACUAUUAUCCAAGAAGUGACCAGUGCUGCUUAGCCCCCAAUUUGUUCUACUUUGGGUAAAUGUUGAAGGCCCUGCCUCAUACGUAUCCUCUUCAAAUGUUGUAUCUCCAUUGGCAGUCACUUCACUCCCGCCACAGUUUAUAUGAAGAGAGUAGUAAGCUAGAACAAAAACAACAGUGAGCAUCCAGUGUACAAGUAAAAACUUUUAAAAGCCAAGUAACAACCAAUGAAUUUUAGCAGCAGAUGACUUAGCGUAGUAUUGUUGUCCUAGGUAGUCAAAGUUUUGGGUUUAAAGGAAUUACCUCAAAUUAGAAGCUAAUAUAAAACAAUGCGACAAACAUUUAGUAUGCUAAACAAGAUAGGAGCUGCGGGAAAUUAACUGGUCUUUUCCAUGUUUUUGUCAAUUAUAAGAUUUUUUUCAUCAGGAAAAUUCAAUGUAUUUAUGAAAGAAUAUUUCAGAUCAUGACUUACUUUUUGGGCAUUGGAAGCUUCUCAAGCAUGAUACAAUUCCGGUGCUGGAAAGAUGUAACGUAAAGGUCAGCAUCAUAACAGCAUAACAUAUAAUCGAAUUUGAUCAACUCGCCAGAGCAAUAUAUCCAGACAAUGCCAAUACCCAAUUAACUUAAAACCAAAAAGCUUCUAUUAUGCAUUUCAAUAUGUUAUAACUAGAUAGUGAAUAGAAAACUUACGAGUUAUUUCCCUUAGAGAAGCUGGCAAACAAGUUCCUAGAGAAUUGCACAAAGUAUAAAGCUUAGUCAGUGUAUUGAAGAUAGUUUAUUGAUGGAGGUGCUUAAAAGCUUCAAUUGAUAGUAUUCUUACACGCUUCGCUUUUGGCAGCUCGACUCUGCGCUUCCAUCAGUGAAAUUAUUAUAUGAAAGAUCUCUGCAAACAGAGUUUUAUGUGACUCAUCGUCUUCCAGAAUGCAAAAAAUUGCACCAAGAGUGCGAAGGGGAAGCUUACAUUUUGUCUCCUUUUUCAAGCAUCCAAGGAGGUAUCGCUCCAGUUAGCAAAUUUCCGGUGAAGUAUCUAUAGCAAAAUAUAAUAACAAAGUAGUAAAAGAAGUACGUUAAACAACCCACGCUUACAAGAGGGAAAUUUGGAAUAAGAAAAAAAGAUGCUUACAUGUAAUCCACAUCAUAUAGAUCAUCGAAGUUGCUUGGAAUUUGUCCCCUUAGUCUGCUAAAGCUGAGAUCCCUGAAAGAAAAUUCAUAAAAGAAUCAUAAAUUAACUGAAAUUUCCCCGUAUGUAUACCUGCAGAUAAUAAACAACGUUUGCACUAACAAGACUUUCAAUGUUGUCAUAUUCCCAAGAUAAGGAGGCAGCUCUCCUGUGAUAUUACAAUUCCUCAAUAUCCUGCCAUGACAGGAUCAAACAUUAAGAGAUCUUUCAACAAGCCAAAAGAUGAACAAAAUUUCUAUGAAUUGGAUACUUACAAGUUCGUCAUCUUCUUAUUACCAAGUUGGGGAAAAGUUGCUUCAGGUCCAUUCAGGUCACUAAUUCUCCUGCAUCGUGAAAUUCAACAAAAACCAAUAAGCCUAGUAUCAGUCAAAUACAUUAUGCACAUGAGUAACAAAAAUAGAAAAACCAUACAUACAAGUCCGUUAAAUUUUCCAGAGAAAAAAUGCCAGAAGGAAUUGGCCCAACCAAACCGCUUGGCUGAAUGAAUCUGUUGAUACAUGUAAUAUUUAUUUCAUUAGUCACCAUACGCAUAAUUUAUUGUUAAUAAAAUAAUGAAUUAAGGGAAAAAAAAAAAAAAACUAGCUCUUACAGUUUUUCAAGCUUUGUCCAGUUCUGAAUAAAACUAGGUAUUUGUCCUGUGAAUAGGUUAUCACCAAUUCGACUGCAUCAUUUGGGAUAACAAAAGAAAAAAUAAAUUAAUUAAUGACCAUUUACUGUUUUAAACACACGCAAGAUGCUAAAUUGUUCAAGAAGCAGCAUAGCUGAGAUCAGCACUGAAUCCAAAUUCAAGAAAGAAGACUGUGAAAGAGUAAGAAAAAUCAAAAGCUUACAAAUCCUUCAUAUUGGUCAACUUAGCAAAUGUUUUAGGCAACUCCCCAGUAAAAUUAUUUGAACUAAGAUGUCUGUAACAAGAGCAAUAACGAGCCGAGUUAUCAAUCUAAUAAAUGUAAGUUUUUUCUUCAGGAUUUUGAUUUGGAAUAAAAGGGUCUUAUAAGUUUAUAUGAAUCGCGUAUCCCUUACAGUUUUUCAAGAUUGAGUAGACUACCAAGCUCCUCAGGCAGUUCUCCUGAAAACUGAUUGUAUUGGACGGUCCUAUUCAUUUUACCGAACAUAAAAGAAUCAAUUAAAACAAGAUUAAUAUUUUUCUAAAAUCGAAGGGGGAAAAAGAGAUACGAAAAUAAAAACUCACAGAUUGACAAGUGUGGAAAUAUUUGCUAAAUAUUUUGGGAUUGGACCCGUUAGCCGGUUUGCUAGGAGGGAACUGAAACAAGAAUCCCAUAUGUGUUAGUUUAAAUGUAAAAUAUCUUCUGUUCAUCUAAAUUAAAAAUGAACAUCACGUUUACAUUCAUGAAGCAAGAUAACCAGAAAUUGAGCUACGAAUUGAAGGAAUUUGCAGGUGGGAUGAAUGAGACAUUAUAUUUUAAAAAUUAUUGAAUUUAAAAGUUUAAGUUGAUAAAUAAGGGUUUAAAAAAAUAUUAAAGGUUGAUCUCAAAUUCUUUAUAAUAUAUGUUAUCAAUCUCCCGUAGUUACUUAUAUAUGAUUUAGCAAAAAAUAGACAGCUGCUAAGUUAUAUUAUUUGUAACUUACAAUUGACCCAAAAUUAGUUUCUCAAGACCCCUACGAGUUUGACAACAAACUUUACAUUUUGAAUAAUAACUGAUUUUGAAUUGACUUAAGUUAGAAAUGAAAUGACUUAUUAGUAAGACCCAGCAAAAACCCGUCCGCAUUAGAGAAUUUUCAUAAGUACACUAUAUAAUAAAGUAAAGAAAAAGUAUGACAUACAUAUUAAGAAGUGGCAGAGAGGCCCAUUCUGAAGGGAUAGUGCCACUAAGGUAGUUGCGAGGGAGACUACUGUUCAUGUCAGACAGUUAAUUAAUUUCGUUAAUUAUAUAUGUAACAAAAUGAACAUAUGUAAAUGUCUAAUGGGAAAAGUUAUAGUUAAUGAAGGGUAAAUUGGAAUGGAGAAGUGCUUACAUAUCUUGGAGGAAAGUGUACAGCAGUAGAAUUAGAAACUGAGAAAAAUUAAAAAAAUACUCAGUUUUUCUAUUUCAAAGCAUCAAGAUUCUUGAUUGGAGAAUAAUAUAAUGUUCUUAGCUUUUAAAUCACAUGGAAAACAGAGUUAGCAUUGCGAUAAUAAUGAUUACAAUGGUCAAAGUCUAAGGAGUACAAUUGCUGAAAAUUAGACUGCUGUACCGUACAUCCGCCUUGGCCGUACAGCAGUUCAUAUUGGUCCUCAACAAGAAUUUUUUAUAAGUAACAAAAUGAACAUAUGUAAAUGUCUAAUGGGAAAAGUUAUAGUUAAUGAAGGGUAAAUUGGAAUGGAGAAGUGCUUACAUAUCUUGGAGGAAAGUCAGUUCGGCCAAUUUUGGUGGGAGAACUCCUGUGAGAUUCUGCUCCUUCAGAACUCUGUUUGAGUAGAAAAGUAUGAGACUUGAUUUAUGUAUUUACUUAAAAAAGGGAAAAAAAAAAAAGGCAAGUGAAUAAUAUAGAUAAACAAACAAAUAAUGCAGGGGCGUUUGGUUACUUUGAUUUGGUACCGUUUUUGGUUUACCGUUUUCUGUUUUCCAGAAAUGAAAAAUAAGAAACGUGUUUAGUGGCACCAUUUCUCAGCCUGUUUUUUUAUCAGACUGAAAAUGAGUACAACUCAUUUUGCACCAUCAUCAAAGGAAAAGAGAAAAAUGAUAAAAUAUUUGUUUGCAUAGAUAUCGCAUAUGUCUUCUUUCGAGAUUCGGCCGCACAUCUGAAAACAAACAAUUGUGUACGAUCAAACAAUUUGGCCCCCCCGCAAACUAUAAAAAGAUGAGUUCCAAAUAAAUAUAGGACGGUAACAAAUGAGGCAUGUAAAACCGGAGUGAACGAACACAAAAUUUUUUACAUGGUUCGACAAAUUAUCUUAUGUGCUGUGUCCUUGCCUCUAAAAAAAAAUAAAAAUAAAACGUUGUGGUUUAAUAGGGUGUAUAUGUCGUUUUAUCUAUUAUUAAUUACUGUUUGCAAAAGAAUUUAUAUUUAAUAUUGAGCUGAUCUGUACUCAACUCUUCAUACGUACAGAAUAGAUGAUUAAAAUGUAAUUAGUUUUAUAUUCUUGUCUAACUAUUAAUUGUGUAUUACUGAAUCUAAAUCCGCGCAAAAAGCUUUAUGAGAUAGAGAUAGGGACAUAUAAAUGUACGUACAUACGGAAAACAUAGCAAACGGUGCCGUUAGAGAAGGAGCAAUUGCAGGUGACAGCAUUCUCUUCUGGAAUCUCAGCCCAUCCCUCUUCUCCACUGCAUGGAUCUACGCUGAAGUUCCAGUCCUUCUUCCCUAGCGUAUUGGCUAUAUCUUUUAAAGCUUGUACUGCAUGCAUCAAAUUGUUACAAACACGUACGGCUAAGUUUAACUGAUAGCGUUCAACAAUAUCAGUCUGUAUAUCAGUAUACAUGCAUACAUAUAGAUAUAUAUAUAUAUGUGUGUGUGUGUUUGUAAAGUAACAAGUAUCAGCCUUCCAAAAAAAAUAUAUAUAUAUUAGCAAGUUUGAAACCAUUAUGUCCUCCGGAUUAAAUUUACUUAAUCCGGAUUUUACGACAGCAUAUAUUUAAAUAUAAGUUCCCUCUGUUCAGAGAGGUUAAUAAAAUCUCUGUUCAGAGAGGUUAAUAAAAUAAAAAUGAUAUAUAAUUGCACAGACUUUCUUUCUUUCUCUCUAGCUAGCAUACCUUCAUUUUCUGGCAAGAUGGCUCCAGAAGCAAGAGCGCUUACGAGGGCAAGGGCAGUAAGUGAAAGAAAAAGAAGACGAUGAAACAUCUCUUUUUUUUUUCCCUCCCCACUUUUGCUGAAGAAAUUCAGCAAUAGCUGCUUUAAUUUGAGAGUGAAAAACGAUUAAUUCGGAGAAUUGGUUGCAAAGUUUAUGAUUUUUAUUUUUUUAUAAGAGGAUGGGAAUUGAAUUCUGCGUGGAAAAAUGAAAGAAGACUUGACUUGACCCUUAGUAAAUGAUGGCAACAAGAGUGUAUUACUUUUAAGUAAUGAUAGAGUCAGAACUAUUUGGUACAAUAAGUGUUUAUAAAUUUAUUUCUGGCUCUAUUAUUAUUAAUUACUUUAUCCGAUUCAGAUCCUUUUAUGAUUGGAUAAAUUUUAGAGUAUAUCUGAAAUGUUAUAUCUAAUUAAUAUAAUUUUUUAAAAUAAAUAUACACAUAAUAUACAUACAUUAAUUGAAUAUAACACAUUUAAUGUAUUCUAAAAUCACUCUAUGAACCGUCGCAUUAUUAAAUUCAAUGGCUAGGAUUUAUUCUCUUGUUAAUUUUUCAUUUCACAAUUAUUGAUACAUAUUGUUUUGUCCGUAACAAAAAGUCAACAGCACGUGUGGUUGGAUGACGGUCAUAUCUUAUCAAAAUCAACUUAAUUUGAGCCCUAGGAAUCACAACUUGAAUUGCUGGGAACCAAAGAACCAUAUCUCUACCGAGAGAUUUGUGUCAAAAGCAGCCAUCCAACUAGAUGGUCAACAUUCAAAGAAGAGAAAUUUUGCAGCAAGUUGGAAAGGAAAAGGAGCACACGGGCUUGGCAUUGAAAAGAAGAAGUUGGCAACUACUUUGAAAUAUAUACAUAUAUAUAUAUAUUAAUUUAAUAGCCAUUUCAUUUUCAUUCAAUUCCAUCGAGAGAAAUCUUUCUUUCUUUUGAGUGUUGAGAGUUUUCAAGAGUUUAAUAAACUCUUGAGUGUCUAGUGAGUGAGAGAUUGGGUGUAUUAGGGUUUUGGGUAGUGAGCUAAAAUCUUACAAUAUUUGUAAUCCUUAUUUCACUAGUAAAAUAUUUCUUUCUGUUUUCGCCCGUGGACGUAGGCUAAAAAAGCCGAACCAUGUAAUUUCUGGUGUCCUCUAGUGUGCUUGUUCUUUAUUUUCUUCCAAUUUCAUUUUAGCUGCGGUCCUGCUUCACCCACCAAUUUCCUAACAGUGGUAUCAGAGCCAUUGGUUGUAUUUUUGGAGUCCGGAAUUGUUCACGUAUACGGCGUACGGAACUAUUCACGUAUACGGUGUACAACACUAUUCACGUAUACGGCGUACGGUACUAUUCACGUAUACGAUAUACGGCACUAUUGACGUAUACGGUACUAUUCACAUAUACGGUACUAUUUACGUGAAACGGUGGAAGCGAUCCAAGAAUUUUGCGGUGCAAAGCUUAAGGAGUCUGGGUUUUAAGUGAGACCAUUGUGACCCCUCCAGUCUUUCCUGGGAACUUUCCUGGUGUGCAUUCUCACACAUACUCACAACUAUUCAAGGUGGUACGCUAGCUUGUGUGCAGUAUUAUCAACAAAAUGGCGGCAAAGUAUGAAAUUGAGAAGUUUAACGGAAAUAAUUUUUCGUUGUGGAAAAUGAAGAUGAAAGCUGUAUUGAGGAAAAAUAAUUGUUUGGCAGCAAUUGGAGAAAGGCCCAUGGAGAUAACUGAUGACAAGUGGAACGAGGUAGACGGCAACGCUAUUUCUGAUCUACACUUUUGGCAGCAAUUGGGAGUAUUAUCCAGUGUGGCAGAGAAAAACACAGCGAAGGAAAUAUGGGAUACUCUCACAAAAUUGUACGAGGCCAAGUCACUACACAACAAAAUCUUCUUGAAGAGGAAACUCUAUACUCUUCGAAUGGCGGAAUCUACAAUGGUGACCGACCACAUCAACACNNNNNNNNNNNNNNNNNNNNNNNNNNNNNNNNNNNNNNNNNNNNNNNNNNNNNNNNNNNNNNNNNNNNNNNNNNNNNNNNNNNNNNNNNNNNNNNNNNNNNNNNNNNNAAACUCUAUACUCUUCGAAUGGCGGAAUCUACAAUGGUGACCGACCACAUCAACACAUUGAAGACUCUAUUUUCACAACUCACAACGUUGGGUCAUAAUAUAGAGGAAAAUGAACGUGCAGAGCUUCUACUUCAAAGUCUACCAGAUUCGUAUGAUCAACUCAUCAUCAACCUGACGAACAACAAUCCAGUGGAGGGUCUAGUUUUCGAAGAUGUUGCAGCCUCCGUAUUAAAUGAGCAGAGCAGGCGGAAAAACAAGGAAAACAGACAAGCAAGUUCGCAGCAAGCAGAAGCGCUAUCGGUGACGAGAGGGAGAUCAACGGAACGUGGUCCCAGUGGGAGUCAAAAUCAGGGUAGAUCAAAAUCCAGAAGUAAGAAGAAUGUUAAAUGCUACAAAUGUGGCAAGAAAGGGCACGUCAAGAAAGAUUGUUGGAGUAACCAGAAGAGAAAAGAGGGCAAAGAACCUAAGUCAUCAAAUGCUCAGGGUUGUGUAGCAAGUACCUCGGAUGAUGGCGAAAUUCUUUACAGUGAGGCAACAACUGUUUCAGAAGGCAGAAAACGACUUUAUGAUGUCUGGCUUAUAGACUCAGGAGCUACCUGGCACAUGACCUCUAGGAGAGAAUGGUUCCACACAUAUGAACCUAUCUCAGGAGGAUCUGUAUAUAUGGGAGAUGAUCAUGCCUUGGAGAUCGCUGGUAUUGGUACUAUCAAAAUAAAAAUGUUUGAUGGUACAAUUCGGACAAUUGGAGAGGUACGACAUGUCAACGGCCUGAAGAAAAAUCUAUUGUCUUUGGGACAAAUAGACAGUCAUGGGUGCAAAACUCAUGUGGAGAAUGGAAUAAUGAAGAUCAUUAAAGGCGCGCUUGUAUUGAUAAAGGCAGAAAAGAUCGGUGCUAAUUUAUUCAUGCUUAAAGGAGAAACACUACAGGAGGCUGAUGCGUGUGUCGCGUCAAAUGGAGAAGAAUCAACGAUGAUGUGGCAUCUCAAACUUGGCCACAUGUCAGAACAAGGCUUGAAGAUUCUCUCUGAGCGAAAAUUGCUUCCGAGGCUCAAAUCGGUAAGUUUACCAUUUUGCGAGCAUUGUGUUACAAGUAAGCAGCAUAGAUUAAAAUUUAGUAGAUCUAUUGCUAGAAGUAAAUGCAUUCUAGACUUGAUUCAUUCUGAUGUUUGGGAAUCACCGGAUAUAUCCAUGGGAGGUGCAAAGUACAUGGUGACUUUCAUUGAUGAUUAUUCCAGAAGAUGUUGGGUGUAUCCAAUUAAGAAAAAGUCAGAUGUAUUUCAUGUGUUUAAAGAAUACAAAGCGCGGGUGGAACUUGAAUAUGGUAAAAAGAUCAAGUGCUUGAGGACAGAUAAUGGUGGAGAAUAUACAGACGGCGAGUUUCUUGCUUUCUGUAAGCAAGAAGGUAUUCAGAGGCAGUUCACGAUGGCAUACACUCCUCAACAAAAUGGAGUGGCAGAACGGAUGAACAGAACUCUUACAGAAAGAAUAAGAGCUAUGUUGAAGACUGCUGGUCUACCCAAUUCAUUCUGGGCAGAAGCAGCCAAAACUGCCUGUUAUAUAGUAAAUCGGUCGCCAUCUACAGCUAUUGGGUUGAAGACAGCGAUGGAGAUGUGGACUGGAAAGCCAGCUGAUUAUUCCUACCUACAUGCAUUUGGAUGUCAUGUGUACGUGAUGUACAAUGCCCAAGAAAGAACAAAGCUGGAUCCAAAAUCUAGAAGAUGUAUCUUCUUAGGGUAUGCUGAUGGAGUAAAGGGGUAUCNNNNNNNNNNNNNNNNNNNNNNNNNNNNNNNNNNNNNNNNNNNNNNNNNNNNNNNNNNNNNNNNNNNNNNNNNNNNNNNNNNNNNNNNNNNNNNNNNNNNNNNNNNNNNNNNNNNNNNNNNNNNNNNNNNNNNNNNNNNNNNNNNNNNNNNNNNNNNNNNNNNNNNNNNNNNNNNNNNNNNNNNNNNNNNNNNNNNNNNNNNNNNNNNNNNNNNNNNNNNNNNNNNNNNNNNNNNNNNNNNNNNNNNNNNNNNNNNNNNNNNNNNNNNNNNNNNNNNNNNNNNNNNNNNNNNNNNNNNNNNNNNNNNNNNNNAGUAGAUCUAUUGCUAGAAGUAAAUGCAUUCUAGACUUGAUUCAUUCUGAUGUUUGGGAAUCACCGGAUAUAUCUAUGGGAGGUGCAAAGUACAUGGUGACUUUCAUUGAUAAUUAUUCCAGAAGAUGUUUGGUGUAUCUAAUUAAGAAAAAGUCAGAUGUAUUUCUAGUGUUUAAAGAAUACAAAGCGUGGGUGGAACUUGAAUCUGGUAAAAAGAUCAAGUGCUUGAGGACAGAUAAUGGUGGAGAGUAUACAGACGGCGAGUUUCUUAGUUUCUGUAAGCAAGAAGGUAUUCAGAGGUAGUUCACGGUGGCAUACACUCCUCAACAAAAUGGAGUGGCGGAGCGGAUGAACAGAACUCUUACAGAAAGAAUAAGAGCUAUGUUGAGGACUGCUGGUCUACCCAAUUCAUUCUGGGCAGAAGCAGCCAAAACUGCCUGUUAUAUAGUAAAUCGGUCGCCAUCUACAGCUAUCGGGUUGAAGACGGCGAUGGAGAUGUGGACUGGAAAGCCAGCUGAUUAUUCCUACCUACAUGCAUUUGGAUGUCCUGUGUACGUGAUGUACAAUGCCCAAGAAAGAACAAAGCUGGAUGCAAAAUCUAGAAGAUGUAUCUUCUUGGGGUAUGCUGAUGGAGUAAAGGGGUAUUGUCUGUGGGACCCCACUGCCCACAAGAUCGUCAUCAGUAGAGAUGUUAUUUUUAUAGAAGAUCAACUGCAAAGAAAAGAUGGAGAUGAUGGCACUGUAAAAGAAAAGUCAGAGACUGUGCCAGUAUAUGUCGAAAAUAAUCCAGAAGAUUUAGAUUCUUCUGAAACAACACCAGAGCACGAGAAACAAGAACCAGUCGAGUCUGAGGCUCAAGAAGUUCGUCGGUCAACUCGUGAGAGACGACCGCCGGCGUGGCACUCGGAGUAUGUCACAGAGAUCAACGUUGCAUACUGUCUUCUAACAGAAGAUGGAGAGCCUUCAACUUUCCAUGAAGCUUUAAACAGCUCAGAUGUUGCUUUGUGGAUGACAGCAAUGCAGGAAGAAAUUGAGGUUCUACACAAGAACAAGACAGGGGAACUUGUACCACUACCACGUGGAAGAAAAGCCAUUGGAAACAAAUGGGUCUACAAGAUCAAACGUGAUGGUAAUGACCAAGUGGAGCGGUAUCGUGCGAGAUUGGUGGUGAAAGGAUAUGCUCAGAAAGAAGGCAUUGACUUCAACGAGAUAUUUUCGCCCGUGGUUCGACUCACAACAGUCAGAGUAGUCUUGGCAAUGUAUGCUACAUUUGACUUACAUCUAGAGCAGUUAGAUGUCAAAACUGCAUUUCUUCAUGGAGAACUUGAAGAAGAAAUAUAUAUGCUCCAACCAGAAGGUUUUGCAGAAACAGGAAAAGAGAACUUGGUUUGCAGAUUGAACAAAUCUCUAUACGGUCUCAAACAGGCGCCGAGGUGUUGGUAUAAGAGAUUUGAUUCCUUCAUUAUGAGCCUUGGAUACAACAGACUCAGUUUAGACCAUUGUGCAUAUUACAAGAGGUUUGAAGAUAAUGAUAUCAUCAUUUUGCUGUUGUAUGUGGAUGACAUGUUGGUAGCAGGUCCCAACAAAGAUCGAAUCCAAGAAUUGAAGGCACAGUUGCCUAGGGAGUUUGAAAUGAAGGACUUGGGACCAGCAAACAAGAUUCUAGGGAUGCAAAUUCACCGAGACAAAAAUAACAGGAAGAUUUGGCUUUCUCAGAAAAAUUACUUGAAGAAAAUCUUGCGGCGCUUCAACAUGCAAGAUUGUAAGUCAAUUUCUACCCCACUUCCUGUUAAUUUCAAAUUAUCCUCAAGUAUGUGUCCUAGCAAUGAAGCAGAGAGGAAGGAGAUGUCUCGAGUACCGUAUGCAUCAGCAGUGGGAAGUUUGAUGUUCGCUAUGAUAUGUACUAGACCGGACAUUGCACAAGCAGUGGGAGCAGUCAGUCGAUACAUGACGAAUCCUGGUGGAGAGCAUUGGAUAGCUGUGAAGAGGAUUCUGAGAUACAUCAGAGGAACAUCAGAUGUUGCAUUAUGUUAUGGAGGAUCAGAGUUUACUGUCAGAGGCUAUCUGGAUUCAGAUUUUGCAGGAGAUCUUGAUAAAAGAAAAUCCACUACUGGUUAUGUGUUUACACUUGCGGGAGCAGCUGUAAGCUGGGUUUCGAAACUGCAGACCGUUGUAGCUUUAUCUACAACAGAAGCAGAGUACAUGGCAGCUACACAAGCUUGCAAGGAAGCUAUCUGGAUACAAAGAUUAUUGGAGGAGCUCGGGCACAAACAACAGAAAAUUCCUGUAUUUUGUGACAGUCAGAGUGCCUUGCACAUUGCAAGGAAUCCAGCCUUUCAUUCCAGGACAAAGCACAUAGGAGUUCAGUAUCACUUCGUUCGAGAAGUAGUGGAAGAUGGAAGUGUGGAUUUACAGAAAAUCCAUACGAAGGAGAACCUAGCAGAUGUUUUGACCAAGCCGAUAAAUACUGAUAAGUUUNNNNNNNNNNNNNNNNNNNNNNNNNNNNNNNNNNNNNNNNNNNNNNNNNNACGGGCUUGGCAUUUAAAAGAAGAAGUUGGCAACUACUUUGAAAUAUAUACAUAUAUAUAUUAAUUUAAUAGCCAUUUUUUGGCUAUAAAAGGAAGAGCUUCCUCAUUCAUUUUCAUUCAAUUCCAUCGAGAGAAAUCUUUCUUUCUUUUGAAUGUUGAGAGUUUUCAAGAGUUUAAUAAACUCUUGAGUGUCUAGUGAGUGAGAGAUUGGGUGUAUUAGGAUUUUGGGUAGUGAGCUAAAAUCUUACAAUACUUGUAAUCCUUAUUUCACUAGUAAAAUAUUUCUUUCUGUUUUCGCCCGUGGACGUAGGCUAAAAGUUGAACCACGUAAUUUUCUAGUGUCCUCUUUGUGCUUGUUCUUUUUGAUCCCUACAAUUAAUUGCUUGAAUUGAUCUGAUGACAAUUGAUUGCCUGUUUCAUAUGCCAAAAAGUAAAGCUCAAAGCUUAAGUUAGAGAAAAUCAAGGGCGUUCCCAUUGAGUCUAUCUUCAAAGAUGAUCUAAAAUUUAAAAGCAUUCACAUAUGAGUUGGACUCUUGGCACCCUUUAGAAGUCGAUUUUCAUUGGAGAGAAUUGCAAGCUUUAACUGUUAUUUAUAGUACAAUAAAUUAAAUUGUUCAUGAAGAGCGAUCAUUGUAUUACCUUUCAAACACCAUUAAUUAUUAGCAGAGCCAUAAAAAAGAUGAGACAAGUGUGUUCAUGGAAUUGAACAAUUUAGAAUAGUUUUAAUUAAGGUUAUCUUAACUAAUAGUUCAUAUAUUCUAAAAAAUAAUAAUUGAUACUUGUUUUUUAUUAAAAUUUUUAUUUCGCUUAUUUUCAAGUGAGCAACUUAAUGUUAUUUUACAAAAGAUUUUUCGUUCCUGUUGGGAGUUGAAAAUUAGAAAUAAAUCACAAUGAUAAUGAAAUUUGUUUUAAUCAAGUGUGAGCGAGUAAGAAGAAUCAGAAAAAUAAGAGGAGAGAGAAAAUAAAAAAGGAAACAAAGAAAAGAAAAAGGAAUUUGUGAGUAAGAGGAAUGGAAACCAAUUGAUUUGGAGUUUGAAGAGGGAAAUUGUAACACUGCCGCAUUGGGGUUUGGGGUUUCAAUGUUUCAUGAAGAAUAGUUUAAAUUAAAGUUAUUUUUGUCAUUAAUGGUGACGUUAUAAGAUAUUCAAAUUAUUUUAAAGGAAAGGUUACCUAGAGCUAGCUUAGUAAUGCUGUAACUUUUAAAAUAAUUGCUGUUCUUAUACCAAUUAAUAGAGCAAGAUAAAAGUGUUGGAUUUUUAAUCCAAUAUUGUUGGAUCUUUAAUCUAAUGUUGGGUUUAUAUGUGAAUAAUCAUGUGUUGCAGACUGUCAUAUAAAGUUAAACCCAAUUAAAAGUGAUCUAUUAAGGUUUUCGGUAUUAUGGACUUUAAUGUAUCUAAUUAGGUGUAGACCUUUAAUGUAUAGAGACUCAAUAUUAUUCUAAUUCUAUAAUGGGCAGAAUUAGCAAUACCUAAUGAUAACAGGAAAAAGUUGUCUAUAUAAGUGGUUAUAGUCCCUAGGUCAUACGUAUGUUUCUAUUCUUUAUUGACAUCCCAUCAUGAGAGAGAGUAGUGAGAAACUUAAAAGAUUCUCUAAGAGAACGUGUAGAUCUAGAAGGUCAACCACACAACUGUGGAGAGCAAUUCAACGUUAUGGAUUCAGGUAUGCUUCCGUAUAAUUCAUUAUUGAUUCUUAGUGAUACAACAUGAAUAUUCAUGGGUUAUAGGUGAUGGUAUUCAUUAAUGAUGGCGUUAUAAGAUAUUCAAAUUUUUUUAAGGGUGAGAUUACCUAGGGUCAGCUUGGUAAUAUUGUAACUUUUAAAACAAUUACUGUUCUUAUAUCAAUUAAUAGAGCAAGAUAAAAGAAACAAAAUGAUAAUAUAAAUAAACACUAGAUAUCAUUUUAGCACUAGACCAAACCAACGUGAUUAUACUAUGAUAUAAUCGAAGUAUGAUUAGAUCUCGUUCUAAUUUAAACGAUUCAAUGAGAUUUAACAACACUUUAAGUAAGAUUAGAUUACUCUAAUUCAAAUAAUUUUACAAGAGAGAUUUUGAUAGUUAAUCCCAAAAGAAUUAUAAAAAAAAGGUUUUGUUUGAUAUAUUAAUCAAAAGAUUAUAAAAACAAUAAGAAGAUCUCCUUAUUUAUAAUAUGGUAAACAUACCUCCACAAGUUAACUUAAAAAAGAAAAUCAAAUAACAAUUAUAAUGGAAAUAGAAGAUUAAAACACAUAUCAUGAUGUGUCAAUACUAUUUUAUUAGUACGAUUAUCAAUCUUUAAUUAAACUAAUAUAAUGUCCUUAUGGUAUAAUACUAGUCAUGCAAAUUAUUUGACUGUCAAAUUUGUGUAAUUUACAUGUAGAGUAUUGAAAAUUAUUAUAUUUUAUUUAAAAAUGUUAGUUAUAAGUCAAAAAAUUAAAUAUCUAAACUAUUAUACACAUGAAUAUAUAUUUAUUGGGCAAUUUGUUAUUGUGUGUCAUAAGAAUAAAAUAAAGUCAAUUAAAACUUAUGUUAACUUAAAUGAUCAAAGAAACCUAUGUAAGAAAAUAGUUAUAAGAUGAUUUAAUGAAUUUAUUGUAAAAUUUUUAUUGUUGAUUCAUAUUUAUUAAAACUAAUUUAAGAUUAUUAUAAAUAUGUUUUCCUAAGUCGGGUGGGUUUAUAUAGAUAGACGGGACAAUAAGGUGAAAAUAUCCCCACCUAUUACAUCCCCAGAUUCACCGUGGUUUCCCAAAAAAAAAAAAAUUUUUAAUUGCGACAAAACAUAUUUAUACUAAAAUAAAUAUCAAGUCAAUAUAUUACAAUUAACCUAAUAUUUAAUCGCGUAAUAAUUAGGUUGACGUAUUGGAAUAAAACUUUAAACUUAAACCCGACAAAAUUAGGAAAUGAACUUACUGACUCGUGUUCAUAUUGGAUUUAUCAUAUCGCUGACCCGUGGCCCACACUCAUUCGUGCAACGUACUUUUUCACAAUUGUUGACAUUGUUUUUUUCGUAGACUAAGUUAACAACAUGUCCCUGGAGCUGGCUACGGUACAGAUUCUGUAACAUACAGACCGGGUUAGCCAGCUCCCCAAGGGUGCCAUUUUGUCACGGGACGAGAGGUUUCAAGCCCGUGCAGUACUCCCGCAUCCCAUACUACGAGAGUAAGCCUAGUGGAAGUGGCAUAAUAUUGACUGGUUUCGCCCUGUCUUGGGCUCAUCAGGAGAACGACUUCCGUUCCCAACCAGUGUGUGUAGGGUUUCGCCUAGACCCCUCUUCAAGAUUAAGUCCUCGACUAGCGACAAGCUCCCCAAAAUCAAUCGGGUCGGCCUGCCUGAACUCCAAAGAGUCUAGGGCCAUUGUAUUCCCCACACGCACGCCCCUGAAGCACGUCUCCAACAAUCAGCACAACCAUCAUCGACACUAGCGUACAAGCGCAUAUCUUGGGUGCCACGAUUGCGGUUCGUGACAUUCUCCCACCGCCAUGACCAUGCACAUCCUCGUGCAUGAAGAGUACGCCUCGCAAAUGUGCACUUCCGCGCGAAAACGUGAAGAUCGGCUUGCCAAUCUCACCCAUGAACUCCUUGCCUACUCGUCCUCGAUCCGGGGAGAGGACCCACGUGCAGACGCUACCCAACUCAGUGCGAACGCUUGGGGGUGUGAGAACCCACUUGUUCGUCCCGCUUGUCGACCCUUGCGCCCAAAAGGGUGGGGACCUGCGUGGUGCGGCAUUGGAGCGCUUGGCGAGCUCGCAACGAGGGCUUCGAGAGAUGACAAGCGCGGCUCUGAUACCAUUUGUCACGGGACGAGAGGUUUCGAGCCCGUGCGGCACUCCCGCAUCCCAUACUACGAGAGUAAGCCUAGUGAAAGUAGCAUAAUAUCGAUUGGUUUCGCCCUGCCUUGGGCUCAUCAGGAGAACGGCUCCAGUUCCCAACUAGUGUGUGUAGGGUUUCGCCUAGACCCCUCUUCAAGGUUAAGUACUCGACUAGUGACAAGCUCCCCAAACUCAACCGGGUCGGCCUGCCUGAACUUCAAAGAGUUUAGGGCCAUUGUAUUCCCCAUACGCACGUCCCUGAAGCACGUCUCCAACAAUCAGCACAACCAUCAUCGACACUAGCGUACAAGCGCAUAUCUUAGGUGCCACGAUUGCGGUUCGUGACAAUUUGCUUGCUUUAUUUCCAAUGCGGGAACACGUGGAGUGUAUGGAGUGGGGGAUGUGUGUUAUGGAAUCUGUAACAUAGAUUUCUCCCCAUGUCCCUGACUGGAAAAUUGUUACCAAUCACGUCUUAUCAAAUAAAGGGGAGUGAGGUGCCACUGUGUUUUUGCUCGUGACGUGAAAUUUAAACCAAGAAAUUUGGUAUAAUGGUAACAAAAAUAUCGUUAUAUUUUUAUUCGGAUGUGACAUUAUUUUUAUCAUUUUGGUAUGUGACAUUGUUUUUAUCAUUUUGGUAUGCAUCUUUUUGUUAAGACUCUUUGUCAUUUUUCCUUGAGCUCUAGGAGCUGUGAUAUUCCUCGGAACCAUAGAACUAUACGUAAUUACAUACUUGCAUCUGUAAUUAAGAACACUUACCCAGAGAUUUGUUCCCUUCAAUUCAUUGGUACGACAAUUUCUCUCAUGUUAAUUAUAACCAUGAUGUGGCUCAUAAUUCACAAUUGAUUGAAUUGGUCUGAUGAUUGUUUCAUAUGCCAAAAAGUAAAGCUCAAAUUAAACGUAACUUGGAGAAAAUCAAAGACUUCAUCAUUUUCAUGUUUUUAUUGGGUCUCAUAAUUUUUCCUUGUUGGAAAUUUCGAACGUGCAAAAGAAGUUAAAAACUUUUAUUAGUUUAUAUAAGAACUGAUUGUCAUGGCCGAGAUAAAUCUGAAUUUCCUUUUUUAUUAUGGAUAAUUCAUAAUUGGAUAUGGAUACGAGUGGGAUGAAUCAUCCACCGCAGAUAUGCCCCAUUGCUAUAAAUACUAACCAGUAACAACAAUUGCUUGAUUAAUGUUUUGUUUGAAGACUUCAAUCAAUUUUGAUUCAACCGAGAUCAUAACUUUGUCAUGCAUGCAGUCGCACUCUAUAAAAUGCUCGAGUGUUAGCACCUAAUUAAGAUUGAUAUUCUACGUGCACAAGCACUAAUCGUGUAAAUAAAUUAAGAGUGAUGAUAGAGCCAUAAACUCUUGUACAAACUUAUCUUGUACAAAUUGAUGUGGCAUUAAUUCAUUAGUUGAAUGAAAAUACAAAAUAACAAAAAUAAAUCAUGUGGGCAAAAAAAUAUUUAAUUCAACCAAUUUUAUUAUGCCAUAUCAGUUUGUACAAGAUAAAUUUAUAUACGAGUUUGUAACUCUAUCAUUACUAAUAAAUUAAUUAAAUAUUUUUCUUUCUAAUUGUGACAAUCAGCACAAAGAAAAAUUGACAUGCCACGUAUUUGUAAUUAAGUUCCCUUAGAUAUUUAUCUUUGAAUGUGUGACAUGGCAAACACGGACUUUGGAGUAGUUUUGGGGUUGUUAGUCAUUGACUUUGGAGUAGCUGUGGGGUUGUUAGUCAUUGACUUUGGAGUAACUUUAUUGGGUGAUCGACGAUCUAUCUCCAUAUAAACACUGCAUCCACCUUUGGAGUUAGGAAAGUUGUAACUGCUAACUUCAGUGUUGUUACAAGCGUUUAUCCUUGCAUCCAUUUGAUCUAAUUGAGCUUUCAUAAAUUGAAAACUCUCCUGAUACAUUCUCCGUUCUCGUGCCAACUCCGUAGAGUAAGGAAUAUUGAAAUACAUGGAUGGGGUGAUGAAUUGACCCAAUCUUUGCACCUGACUUCUAUUAGACUUCUUUUGAAGGAUUUCACAUAGGAUAUCAUUCGGUCCUUGGGAUUGGAACGUUCCUUGCUCAACUUGGCUUCUUAGCUCACUGUACAAAAUAAAUACAAAAAUAUUUAAUCAAAAUUAGGAAUAAAAAAAUAAGUUAAAUAAUGACAGUUUAAACAUACAUCACAUUACCAACAUUUUUCGAAAUAAACAAAGCAACCUAAUCUGUCAAUUUACAUGAUUUUGUAUUAUAAAAUAAUUCAGGCAGCUUUCAGUUUCAAACUAUUUGCAUUGGUAUUUUUCAGUGGUGGUGGAAACUUACAAUUAUUUCAACCAUUUGCUACACAUUAGCUGUAUAAGUUCCAUCUUUUUUUCCUGUGACCCAAUAACCAAACUUCACCGCGGUCAAUCUUGCGCUCAGAAACUCCGAGGUCCAACUGCUAUAAUAAUUCAAUAAAAAUUAAAUUCAAAACUGCUAUGAAUCAUCUUAUUAUUUGUAUUGAAAAUGUCAUAAGUUUGUAUAAAGUGGUUAUUGUACUUACUCUUUUAUGCAACAACCCAUCAUAUCUUGUGCUGCCCAAGUGAUGAUUGUACACAUUCUUCGCUGCCUUACUUUUUUCCUGCACAAAGUGGAUAUUGAUUAAAAUGGUUACAGGAACUCAAUAAUAUUAUCUAACUAACAAAAUUUUAAACAUAUCUGAAAGUCUUCGGAUAAAAUCUUAUCAACAAAGCUCUUCCAGUCCUCUUUUCUAAUGCCUUCAUACUCAAGAUGAGGCUUUUUCAGUGAACUCAAGCUGUUUGCAUUGGGCAAAAUAUAUUCAUUGGCCAACUUACAUCUAAAGCCCCUUAAUGCAAUUCCCAUCCACUUGAAAACUUGGGUUUUCACCUUAAGGCUCAACUUGAACUUUUCCUGAAAAUGAGUCUAUAACGUCUCCUUGAUGUCUAGUGGCACUUUCCUCCAAUCAUCAUAUAUAAUUGGAACUCUUUCCCAUACAAUCACCCCAAUGUAGUUUCUCAGAUCAUUUAUCUUUUUUCCAACUGGAACUCCAUACGAAUUGUACAUAACCUCAGUCUCAUCACUAACUCCUCUCUGCAAGUUUUUCUUCUUUGUAAGGUUUCGUCUUGGUCUUCCUUCCAGAUCUAGAUCAUAUGUUGGCUCCUCAUUUUCUGCCAUGUCUCUAACAAACCUACAAAUACAUAAAAGUGGAUGAGUGCACCAGAUACCAUUAUAAUAUCCCAAUAUAAUAAUAAAAUAAUAAAAAACAAAUUAGUUGCUGACUUACGGGAAGUAGUGCUAAUAAGGCAUAGUAGUUGGAUUAUUCAUUUUCCGCAUCAAUAUUUACAUGAAAAACAUCAACAACUGAUCUUACACAAAUUCCUCAUCACCCAAAUCUAACUUACAUUCUGGAAAAUUGUUGGAUAAUAGCACAUACUCAUUAAUGCCAUUCAUUUGAAUAGUUACAUUUUUCACUCACUGAACAAACAAUUGAUUUACUAUUAUCUAACUGAUCAUUCACAUAAAACACUUGCUUUGCAUGACCAGCUAAAAUGAAACAGUUAUAUUUGUAGCCUAUCCGAUCUAAAUUGACUACAGUGAACCCUAACUCAUCAACGUUAACCCCUCUAUCAUCUACCCAAUCGCACUUGAAAAGUACCUUCUUAACCCCCAGAUAAUCAAGCUGCCAAAUUUCAUUGACAACCCCAUAAAAAGGCAUAUCCCUAGAAUGAGGAUUUUUGUCUUUCGAACUUGAAAUCUGUAAAGUGUUAGCAACAACAUAAACGCCAUUGUUUUGUGUUAUGCGGUUGUUGUCCCGAUCUCUCGUAUCAAAAUUAAAACCAUUAAUACAAUAGUCUUCAUAUGUAACCACGCUUGAGCGGGGUUUGUUUGCCAACCACCAUACUUUUUCGUCAACCACUUCAUUAUUUGUUUUAUCAGUUUUUAGUUGUUACCUAUUGUUUAAUUAAUGAAACCACCAUAAUUAUUUGAAAGAGAAAAAUUUGUUUACCUUUACUCUGGUACUUUUAUUAGACCCAAUGAAGGUAAUCUAACUUUUUGUUUCAGCCAAUCAACAAAUGUACGGGAGUGCUCGGUUGGCAACCAUAAAGGCUUUUCUAUUUGACAAGGGUGUUUUGAUUGUAGUAAGGCCAAAUGCUCCAUAAAAGUAUACCAACAUAAUUAAUAAAAUUGAAAAAAAAAACUUAAUGAAAAAGAGGUGCAAAUUUUUAGUCACAUACUCUAUAUAUGGUUGAAUCUCAGGGGUGUUCACCAAAACACAUCGGUGCGCUUGCGCCAAUGUAGGGGCAUCAACCGCCUUAAUAUUUGCACCUCUGAGUGGUCUUUCGACUGUAAAAUCAAUUAGACAACCAGUAGAUAGUCUGAUUGAUUUAUAAUUUGAAAGGUAUUCAACACAAAAUUCAAGUGCUUCCUCAACUAUAUAGCACUCUGCAAUGCAACCUUCAGGACGGUAUCAAUUGUGUACAUAAUCCUUUAUAGGUUUCAUUUCUCUCUUAAAUGGAUACAUCCAUCGAUAGUGAACCAGGCCACAUAAUCUAACUUAUUCAAGUAUAUGGUCUGUUAAAGGGACCAUUAUAUCGAAAAAGGCAGGUAUGAAAGAUUGUUCUAAAUUGUAUAAGGUGAUUAUUAAGUUUAUUUUGCAAUUGGUCUAGAGAAUCAUGCUCUACUACCUUAGAACACAAAAAAUUAAAGAAGAGGCACAACCUGAUUAUGACGGAUUUGACAUUUUAAGGCAAACAAUUCCGAAUUGCUAAUGGUAGUAGUUGUUGCAUCAAGGAAUGACAAUCAUGAGACUUAAGCUCAUGAAGACAACGAUCAUCCAUUGAAACAAGAUUUCUAAAAUUAGAACAAUAGCCAUCAGGAACUUUGACACCUUGUAAAGUUUCACAGAAUUUUUUUUUCUUUCUUACUUAAAGUGUAUGGGGUAGGGGCAGGACUUUGUUUUGUUUAUCAGGAGCUAAUGGAUGUGUAAGAUCUUUUCUAGCAUUAAUUCCAUCUUUUUUUUUCCCCGGUUGAUGGAGCAAUGUGCUCUAGAUGCUCUCACAUACAUUUUUCUCAAUGUGCAUCACAUCUAGUUGAUGGCUAACUAACAAAUGUUCCCAAUAUUCUAAAUCAAAGAAGAUUGAUCUCUUUUUGUACAACAACUGAGUUACAUCCCCAUUACCCUCACCCUCACUUUGAACCUCACUAUCACCCUCACCCUCAACUUUAACCUCACCUUUACCUUCACCCUCACUUUUACCCUUACUUUACCUUCACCUUUACCCUUGCUGUAACCCUCACCCUCACCCUCACCAUGUUUUCGCUUUUUUUGGACCUUUUUCCCAAACUUGGUGUUAAUGUCAGCAACCAAGUUUAAGAUCUCUAUACCAAACAAAGGCCUAUGAGGAUUUUCAAUAAACAGCGUAUGACCCAUAUAUGACAUUUUUCGAUUAUGUGGUAGCCAACAUGCACAUGUGUUUAUCCCACAAAUUGGAUAACCAUAAUACCCAUUAACAGUACACCCAGACAGGUUUUCAUAAGUUGGAAAGUCACUAAUCGUCUACAUCAACACAACUCGUAAAUUAAAAGUUUGUUUCCUAUAAGCAUCAAACACAUCGAUGCCUACAUCCCAUAGGGUUUUCAAGUUCUCAAUCAAUGGUGCUAGGUAUAUAUCUAUGUCAUUUCCAGGUUGUUUAGGGCUAGAUAUCAGUAAAGAUAACACCAUAAACUUCCUCUUCAUACACAGCCAUGGAAGAAGGUUAUAUGUUAUCAACGUAAUAGGUUAACAACUAUAAGUAGUGCUAAGUGUGCUAUGUGGGUUAAUCCCAUCAGAUGAUAAAGCCAACUAAAGAUUUCGCAGCUCCUGGGCAAAAUUAGGCCAUUUCUUGUCAAUUAACUGCCAAACUGGUGAAUUUGCUAGGUGGCAAAGCUUGCCAUCUUUAAUUCUUUUAUUUUCAUGCCAUGUUAAGUUCUUAGGAGUUUGUGGUGAUUGAAACAUUCUUUUGAACCUAGGAAUUAUAGCUGUACCGUACAUCCGCCUUGGCCGUACAGCAGGGCAUGUAAAACCGGAGUGAACGAACACAAAAUUUUUUACAUGGUUCGACAAAUUAUCUUAUGUGCUGUGUCCUUGCCUCUAAAAAAAAAUAAAAAUAAAACGUUGUGGUUUAAUAGGGUGUAUAUGUCGUUUUAUCUAUUAUUAAUUACUGUUUGCAAAAGAAUUUAUAUUUAAUAUUGAGCUGAUCUGUACUCAACUCUUCAUACGUACAGAAUAGAUGAUUAAAAUGUAAUUAGUUUUAUAUUCUUGUCUAACUAUUAAUUGUGUAUUACUGAAUCUAAAUCCGCGCAAAAAGCUUUAUGAGAUAGAGAUAGGGACAUAUAAAUGUACGUACAUACGGAAAACAUAGCAAACGGUGCCGUUAGAGAAGGAGCAAUUGCAGGUGACAGCAUUCUCUUCUGGAAUCUCAGCCCAUCCCUCUUCUCCACUGCAUGGAUCUACGCUGAAGUUCCAGUCCUUCUUCCCUAGCGUAUUGGCUAUAUCUUUUAAAGCUUGUACUGCAUGCAUCAAAUUGUUACAAACACGUACGGCUAAGUUUAACUGAUAGCGUUCAACAAUAUCAGCAUAAAAAAAUUAUUAAAAAAAAUUCCAACAUUUUCUUUUUCUUUAUUAAGUUUUGAUGUUCAUUUUUUCGUACAUCCGCCUUGGCCGUACAGCAGUAAGUGGUUAUUCUAUUUUGUGUAAUGAAGAACUUUUUAUUCUUAACUCUUGGGUUCAAGAAUUCCUUCUUCUUUUUAAUUUCUCCUAUAUAAAUAUACAUUUUCAAUUUUUUUGUUGAGUCGAAGAUGGCUGAAUAUGGAGUGUAGUGCCUCUAGAAACGCAUCUUCUUAGUAAAAAAAAAAAAAAACCAUUUUCUUUUUCUAUCAUUUUAAGUGUAACUUUUCUAAUUAGUUUUUAUGCAUCCUUUUCACAUUUCUGCAUGCAUAUUUUCCUUUCAUGUUUAGGAUAGGUUGUGGGGUAUAAUGUUGUUUUAAAAAAAAAAUUUGUGUGAUUUGUUUUAACAUUGGAUGACAUGAUUAAUUUCAAAUUUUAGUAUUUGUAUUAUCUUCGGUCUUAAGUGAUGUUACGCUAUGUUUGCUACUUUACAUAUUGAUGUCGGAGACAAAUAUGAGUUGCUUGAAGGAAUGAACAUGUCAUAAUAAGUACCAAGUGAGUUUUUGAGCCUAUCAUUUUUCUUGGAGAGUAACCCUUUUGCCCGUUCUUUAUAUAACUUAGCCCGUUCUUUAACCCUUAAAAAAAAAUUGUAAAAUUAAAAAAAAAAAGUGUGUUGCUACAUUUGGAGGCCCAUCUAACUAGUAGAUAUGGAAGAUUAUUUAGAGCCCUAAAAGAUGAUGGAAAUGCCAUCUUUGAUCCGUUUGAGCCUUUCUAGCCAUCCCUUUUAUGAAAUAUCCAUAGUUAACCCUUUUGAGCCUUUAAAAAAAAAAAGAAACAUUUUCUUUGUCAAACUUAUCAUCUUGACCCACUCCGAUUUGGAGUAUUACCCAAUAAACUACGCUUGAAAUGGUUUACGAGUGGAGAAUGAAUAUAGUUUACCUUACCUAUGUUAAAUCUUUCAAGAACUCUUUCAACAAGUGCUUCUUGAGAUAACCAUAACUUCCUAGAUUUUCUAUCACAAGAAAUAUUCAUGCCAAGAAUCUGUUUUGCCGGUCCUAAGUCCUUCAUUGUAAAAAACUUGCUAAACUAUUUUUUAAAUUAUCAUUUUUACUAACAUCCUGGCCAAGAAUGAACAUGUCAUCCACAUAGAGCAAAAAAAUAAUAAAAUCAUUAUAACUAAACUUCUUCACAAAAAGACAAUAAUCAGACAUAAUCUUGAUGAACUAUGAUUCUCCAUAAAAGAAUCAAACUUCUUGUACCAUUGUCUUAGUGCUUGUUUCAGCGUAUAUAACUUUUCUUUAACUUGUACACAAGUUUUUCUUUACUUUUGACAAUGAAUACUUUAGGUUGCUCCAUGUAUAUUUCCUCUUUUGAGGCUUUGUGCAAGAAAUCUAUCUUUACAUCGAGCUGUUUAAUCCCCAAAUUCAAGCUAGCUACUAAUCCCAGAAUAACUUAGAAAAUAUCUUCACCACAGGGGAGAAUAUUUCUUCAAAAUUGACACAUUUCUUCUUACCGAAACCCUUCACAACCAAUUUAGCCUUGUACUGCUGUUGUGAGUUAUUUUCAAUCUUCAAUCUCUAAACUCAUUUGUUCUUUAGUGCUUUUUUUUUAAAGAAGAUUUGUUAAGUCAUAAAUUUGGUUCUGAUUCAAGAAUUUCAUCUCUUUUUGCAUAACUUUAACUGCUGUACCGUACAUCCGCCUUGGCUGUGUUGCUACAUUUGGAGGCCCAUCUAACUAGUAGAUAUGGAAGAUUAUUUAGAGCCCUAAAAGAUGAUGGAAAUGCCAUCUUUGAUCCGUUUGAGCCUUUCUAGCCAUCCCUUUUAUUAAAUAUCCAUAGUUAACCCUUUUGAGCCUUUAAAAAAAAAAAAACAUUUUCUUUGUCAAACUUAUCAUCUUGACCCAUUCCGAUUUGGAGUAUUACCCAAUAUCUUACAAGUUCCAUCACCUAUUUAUGUUUGAGAAAAAUGUAAAUAAUAUUUUGUAAAGUGAAGUUAUGCCCAACAAAAGCAAAAAAAAAAAAAAUUGUUGUUUAAAAAAAAAAGAAAAAAAUUAACAAUAAUAGGUGAAAUCCACCUUGCAACUUCCAAAAAAAAAAGAAAAAAAAAUUCCUGUGUAUUUUUCUCAAACAUACACUUUGUUUUCCUUAUUUCCCUUCUUUGUUAGUCAUGUCCCUAGCCUACGUUACGUCCUAAUAAAAGUCCUUCUUGAUUUUAGAGAACUAUAAUCUGAAGUAGAAGCUAGUUAUAUGGGCUAAAAAGAUGUAGUGGUGCAUUAAAAAAUAAUAAAUAAAAAUAAAUAAAUUGGGUUGACUAGUAUUUUUAUUUGACUUGAGAUCGUAUUAUUUCUAAGCUGGGGGCAUAUUUCUUUCAUCUUGGUGAGAGCAUGUGAUAUCACUUCUUUAUUAUUUUCUCUCUCAAGUACCAUUCAUUGGAGUGACUAUUUUUAUUGGGUUUAAUUUCUUUAUGAGAGUGUCACUACUUUCAGUGAGAUUUUGGGGUUGACAUGUCAUUCUUGAAAGUAGCUAUGACAAUCUACUAGGCUGAUUCAUGUGGAUGAUUAAUGUGGGUGUGAUGUUGCUUUAGACUAGAGAUAAUGCUUAUACUUUUAUUUGAUUGCUAUCAUUAGUCUGAUUGAAUAAACAAGAUUGUUUAAAAACAAAAAUUGUGUUUGAAUUUUGUUUUCACUUUAUUUGCUAGGGACUAGCAAUAAGCUGGUUGGGGGGUGUGUUGAGUGUUAGAAAAUGUAUAUUUAUAAAGGAGAAAAUCGUCAUUUUACAUUUCAAGUCUUACUAACAACCCUUACUUUUAUGUAUUUAAACUUCUUGUAAUUUAAUUAUGUGUGUUUUAUUUUAAUUUAGUAUUUUAUGUAUUUUAGGGACAUCAUAGUCAUUUCACAAGAAACGAGAGAUCAAACGGCAAAACGGACAUUACUUUUGAACUCAGGACGGUCGAAAACCUUAGGAGGAGCAUAAAAGGAAAAAUGGCACUAUUCACAUGUACGGUACUAUUCACGNNNNNNNNNNNNNNNNNNNNNNNNNNNNNNNNNNNNNNNNNNNNNNNNNNNNNNNNNNNNNNNNNNNNNNNNNNNNNNNNNNNNNNNNNNNNNNNNNNNNNNNNNNNNNNNNNNNNNNNNNNNNNNNNNNNNNNNNNNNNNNNNNNNNNNNNNNNNNNNNNNNNNNNNNNNNNNNNNNNNNNNNNNNNNNNNNNNNNNNNNNNNNNNNNNNNNNNNNCAUUUUUGGGAUCCAUUUUCUGUAACUCCCUCUCCAUCUUGUACUUUCUUCGUAUUUUAAUAAAUUCUCAUUUUGCCUCUAGUUCAAUUAUGAGUGGCUAAUUUUCUUUUAAGCUUGGGUUGAAGGUGAAGUCUCAACAUGUGUCAUGGGCUUUAUUUGGUAAAUUUAUUUUCUUUUCCCCUCUAGUUUUUGUGGAUGUUUUGACUUCUCGUCGACAAAUAAUACUAAUCUUGUCUAGUAUCGCCUUAGUUUCACCGGCCCUCUAGUACAAGGUUAUUAUUAUUUGGCACAAUAAGCCCUUAGCACCAUAUUGAUUAGAGCGUGGUUCAUGAGGUGUGGAUUCCCCCCUCAUGAUUUAAUUGGCAUUAAUAAGGAUUAUUUAGCACAUGAUGCAUGUUGAUACGGAUCCAGAUACCCAAGUACGUCAUCUCAAUAUAUUUCUCUUCAAUUUAUUCUCCCCAUUUCAAUUCCAAUUUUAGGAUAAUCCAAAUCAUUUUCACAACAAAUCCAACCACCCAUUUACAAAAUUAACUCUACACACAAUUAAAAUCCACCUACUCGUGGGAUCGACACUGGUCACCAUUAGUCUAUUCUACAAUAGAUUCGUGCGCUUGCGAGUUCAAUAAAAUUUGCACAACAAUCUACAUAACUAUAAUUCAGACAUCUAAAACACUAAUUUUGUGGCUGGUCUUGGUAUUUUACAGAGGUAAGUUUCGGGUCCACCUCACCGUGCCAAUUCUAAACUAAAUAUUUUUCUAAAAAACCCUUUUUAAACAGAUGUAGCCUUAGUUGUUCUGGAGUUAAAAACUUCAUAUUACAAAAAGAGGUACAAGGACAUCUAAUUGACAUUCUAUUUUCAGACAAUCUAUCACAGAAUAUCCAAGUUUUGUCCAUAACAUGUAUUGUUACAUGUUCAUUUGUUAGAUGUUGUUAGCUUAAUAAGUUUAGUUAAAUUAAAAAUAUAAAUUGCAAAAUAAAUCUAAGUUCUAUUUAUUUAGAGUCACUUAAAUACAUGUAUGCAUUCAACAACCCAACAUAGCAUAUAUGUAAGCAUUCAGUAACCCAACAGAGCAUACAUGUACACAUUCAACAAGCCAACAGAGCAUACAUGUACACAUUCACCAAGCCAGCAAAAUAUACAUGUACACAUUCAGCAAGCCAACAAAACAUGCCACAUCCACAUUUUUCAAAAUUUUAUUUUCAUAUUAGAACAAACAAAAGUAUAUAUUAGAAUAAACAAUUUAAUUCCAGAAGAGUCUAUGCAACAAAAACGAAACUAAAACCAUGCAUGUCAAUAUUUAAAACAUGUCAGUACAAGUAAAACUCAUAACACUGAUAAUAGAAACUGAAAGAAAGUGAGUGAUUUAAAAAAAUUACCAAAUGAAGACAACUGUUACACCGUAAACUUUUUUAAUUCUUCAGAAGCGAGAGAUUAAAUUGAACAUAUUAAUUCAACUUAUUAGAGCUACUCAAUUGAAAUAAACAUGCAAGAUAUAAGAAAAAGUAAUAACAAACUAAACAUUUUAGUCUAAAGUCAAUAAUUCAAUAUUAAAAUGCAAACAAAAGUUUCCUAUACAAACAAAUAAAGGUCCCUUUCAAAAGUUUAUUAAUUUAAAGAUCCUAUAAAAAAAUAAAAAACAAACAAGCUGCAUGUGGUUGUGACACUAAAAUGGUCAAGGCUAUUGUACCCAUCAACAUAUGAAUGAAGAUUUAAUUAUAUUGUUAAUUACUACGUCAGAAAGUUGUACAAGGGAAAUCACAUAAAAAAAAAAUUAAGGACAAUGCUUGUUGUUGUUGAAGUGUUUGCAUGUGAGAUAUUGCAUUUAUACUAAGUCUAGCAAGUGCAUUAUAGGGAAAAGAUUGAUGAAUUGACCCAAAUUGAAUAUGUAUCUUUAUCAAUGGCUAAUUAAAUGGAACAAGUUAGGCCCAAAAUUGAAACUAUCAUGCAAAAUUUUAAAUGCAAUUUCAAUAAAUGGGGAAAAGGGGAAAAACUCAAAUCUGCAUUGACAUUGUAUCCAUCAAUUCCAGUUAAAGUGUACAUGAAAUUCAAGUCGAGUGACAUGGCAACUAAAGAAAGAGAGGAAAGAAAACUAAUUUGAAUCAGGCACUUAUAAAACCACUCUUAGUUAAAAACUCUGGUACAAUAACUCAACUUCAAUUGCCUUUACCUCUCUGCUAUAUUUUCCCUAGUCCCAAAUUAUAAACAAUCAAGAUUACAGAAAAAAACUAAGAAUUUUAAAACCCAUUCUAUAGUUUAACCGCAACAAAACAACAUGCAUGAGGAAAAUAGUUACUAUAAAUUGGAAACAUAUUAAUUAAAAAUAAAUAGAAAUAAAUAAAUGGCACCUUCAGAAAUGAAUUUAUUGUAGUGGAGAGAGAGAGAGAGAACCGAAUCAUGAUAGAAAGGAAUUCCUGUGCUUCGGGCUUAGUUGGGAUUGACGUGAAGUUUGAUUAGAAUGUGCAGUGUCAACAGUGGGGAAUAGGAUUUUAGGGUUUUGUUUACUUAGCUUUGACAAAGAAGGAGAACCGAGAGGUGAAGAAUGAUGAGUGAAUGACUUAGAAAAAAGUUAGGUUCGAUUUUGGUCUUAGGGUUAGGACAAAACGAUGCGUUUUACUUAUUUUUAUUUUUUUCUAGGUGAAACGAUAACGUUUCUAAUUGAAUAUAUAUUAUUUACUUGUAAAAUUUCAGCCAAAACCCGCUAAAAUUUUCACUCAGGCGUGCUCAAUACAUUUCAAGUUCUUCAUAUCGCAAAACUAAUAUUCUACUGAUUCAGUAGCAUAACUAACAAAAAGUCACAUCAGUUUUAAUUUUAAACUUAAAAGCUUUGGCUUUGAAGGGUCUUGGGUUCGAAUGUCAGUUCGAAAUGAGAUUCAAAUUUUAUUUUCUUUUAUUGAUACCUUAGUGUCACCAAGAAAAAGCACAAUGGUCUUUCUCUUAAACUUAAAUGCUCCGAUGUUCGAGGUCCCCAUUUGAAUUCCAUCCGUUACGUGAUUAGAAUUAUUUUAUUUUUAUUACUAAUACUUUAGUGUCAGAGAUUUCUAAUGUCUAAAUUUCAGACACCAUAGUAUCAUUAAUUUGUGAUACUUAUGUGUUAAACACGGAAAAUAGCCCAUAUGUAUAAAAAUACUGAUACUUUUUAAUAAAAUGUCACAAACCAAGUGUCAGUAAAGACCAUUUUUGUAGUAGUGUUGUACAACUUCAUUUAGAAGGGAUAAUUUUAAAUUACUCUCGUAAAAUGAUAAUGUUUAGAAUGUGUUUAAAUUAUUGUAAAUAUUAAUUUAUAUUUUAUUUUUUUAAGAAGACAAAUAAAUUUUCAUCGACCCAUUCAUAUUUUUUCUUUAUCUUUUGAACAAAAAUGAGAAAAGUUUAAAGUUUACAAUAAUUUUAACAGUAUUAUGAUCAUUCCAUGUAGAGGGUAAUGUGAAAUUUACCCUUUCUAGAAUUAUUUUGAGUGAAAAGUUGUGUUAGUGUUUGUGUCAUGCACCACUUGGAAAGAAAAAAAGAAGAAGAAGAAGCCAGCAUGGGUCAUUAAUUUUGCACCACCAAGCUGCAUGCUUCAUCAUUUCAGCUGCUUGCUUCAGCCAUUUAUUUCAUUAUUUUAGUCAUCGGCUUGCUUCAUCAAUUUACUUGUCAUCUUGCUUAACUCGGUGGCUAUAUAAAGCACAAAUGUUGAGAGUGCUUUAUUUGAUACAUCUAAAGAAUUAAGAGCAAAAGUUAGAGACAGUGGCGAAGCUAGCAUCAUUUGUUUGGGUGGGCUAGAUUUAAAAAAAAAUGAAAUUUAUUUCUCAAAAAAUUUGUUUUAUUUAAAUGAAAUUAAGCACACUGCAUAAGCAAAAAUUUAACUAUAAAACUAUAAAAAAUACAAUGUAAAUAAGAAAAACACUAUUGACGAAGCUGUGUCCUGCGGUUCUUCAAAAAAGAAAAUUCAUCUACUAUCGCAUCUGAGUCAAUAUUGUCUGCAAUUUCUCUUUCGAUGUAAAUAACCAUACAAUCUAAAAAAAAACUCAUUCUCCAUCUUGUUUCGAUGUGUUGUCUUAAUCAGUUUCAUGGCAGAAAAUGCUCUCUCUGUUGUUGCUGUUGAAACAUGAAGGGUUAACACUAAACGAAUUAAUCUAUUCAACAAUAAAUAAAUCUGUGACUUUCUAGUCUCAACCAAUCUUUGACACAAUUUAGCAAGGGAAGUAAUAUUCUGAAACUCUUGAAGAGAGUGUAUAUCUAUCUCAAAGCACUCUAAUUGUCUUCUCAAAGCCUGUAACUCAAUCUUAGUGAAAUCUUCAGGAUAAAAUCUUUCAGCAAGGCUGCAAAUAUCUUCAAUUUUAAAUGAUUUAAAUGCAUCAAUAGGAUUUAAAGAUGAACUAAGAGUGAGGAGUUCCAAAGUCUGUUAAGUGAAUCUAUUAUUCAACUCCAUCAAUUGAAAAUCUAUCACAACAUUAAAUAUAUUAUAAUGAUAAUAAUGCUCAACUGUAAUAUAAUCAUUCUGUUGACAAGAACGUCCUCUGCCUUUCAUAUGGCGAGCUUUCAUACCAGGCAUAUCUAUCUCAUUCUUUUCACAAAAUAUAACUACGUUCUCAAUAAAAGUUUCCCAACCAUUGUCUCGCAGCCUUUGAAGAAGUUUUUUCAUAGUUGAGACUAAGUGCACAGUAUUUAGAAUAUCAUGAGAUUUAACUUGUAAUGCUUGACAAAGUAAAUCACUCACCCCCAAAACUUGAUUUAAUAAAUGCAAAAUGAACACACUUUAGCCUCUCCACGUAUGAUAUUGUUAGGCCCACACUCUACCAACUUCCUAAGAACUUUACGAACAACACUAAACAAAUCAAGCAACCUACUGACAGAACGGAAAUGAGAGCUCCACCGAGUAGCUCCAGGCCGUUGCAAAGUAUGAAUUUGAUUGGCCCCUGUACCAGUUUGAACUUCUCCUGAAGCUAUCAAAUCUAUUAUUUCUGCUUCGCAAACAUAUUUUAACUCAGAAAGCCGUUUAGCAGAUGAAGUCAGAACAUUUACAAUUGAACCCAAUACUAAAAGAAAAGCCAUACAUCUGGCACAUCAUUAGAUGCUGCAACUAAAGCAAGUUGUAGUUGAUGUGCAAAACAGUGUAUAUAAUACGCAUAUGGGCAAUCUUUAAAAAAUAAUGCUUGUAAUCCAUUCCAUGCACCCCUCAUGUUACUAGCACCAUCAUACCCUUGCCCUCGGAUAUUUUCAACUAAAAGAUCAUAUCGUGCAAGAACAUUACAUAUUUCUUUUUUCAAUGUUACUGCUGUAGUUUCCAUGACAUUGACAACUUCAAAAAAACGUUCUCGAAUAUACCCAUCACAAUCAACAUACCUUAAAACAAUAGCCAUUUGCUCUUUAUUAGAUUCAUCAAGUGCUUUGUCUACUAAAAUACAAAACUUCCCAUCUCCAAGUUCCUUGCAUAUCUUGUUUCGCACUUUGUUUGCAAGAAUAUUUAAAAGCUCUUUUUGAAUGUCAGACGAUGUAUACUUAGCAUAUGAUGGAGCAUUUUCCAAGACAACUUGAGCAAUUUCUUUACUACACUCUGCUGAAUGCUUUAUCAACUCUAUGAAAUUUCCCCGAUUUCUUGAAUUAACUGAUUCAUCAUGACCUCUAAAAGCACAUGCUUGCUUUGCUAACCAUUUAACAACAAUAAUUGAGGUAUUCAAUCGUAGCCUAUUCUCAAAAAGUUGUUGUGAAGUUUGGGCAUUAAUUAAUCUAUCAAUGUGUUGAAUUAGAUUCCUCAAACAACCCCAACUCUGCAUAUUCUUAUUAUGAUGAGAAGAUGGACCCCCUUCAUGCUGUAAAAAUGGACAUUUGUUUCCAUUGUUGACUCUCUUCCAACUAGAAAACCCUUCAAUAACAAAUUUUGGGUUGUUUGAUGGAAUUUCAUCAAAAAGAAAGCAUGGAAAACAAAAUGCACUAUCUUUUACCUCAGAGUACUCAAGCCAUGGAAAUUUUUUAAACCAGUGAUAUUGAAACCUACGUUCUUGCAUGCCAUCAUUAGUUAGUGGAUAAUCUCAUAGUUUAGGUUGAUAAGGUCCCAUUUUGAUGUACUCCCUUAGAAUAUCAUCACGUUGAUUUACUGAAUAUGUCCCUAUUUGAUGACAUAAUCCAGGAUCACGCUCCAGAUAAGUAUUUCUAGUUUCUUCAACUUCAACCCUUUGAAACUUGGAAGUAUGUUGCUCACUGAAAUCUUGAGCAUUAACUUGACAUGGAGAUAAAGACUUGGUGGAUGAUUGAUUUUCACCUACUCUCUUAAAAAAAGAAAGUAGAGUUUUUAUUGGUUUAUUUAACAUUGAAUCUGUAAUAAAAUACAUUAAAAAUUUAGUAUUUAUUUUAUAAAAAUUUGACAAAAUCGCAAGUUAAAUGCUAAUUAAAAAAAGUCAGCAUUUAAAUUAAUUGUUUUACUAUUUUAUUCACUCAUUCUUUCAUGCCAUCAUUAUUUUAUAAUUUCAAGAAGAUGAAUCAACACCUUUAUAAUUCUUUCAAGUUAAAAGCUCUUUAUAUGCUAUCAUCACCGUUUGUCACAUUCUAUUAUUUUAUAAUUUUAAAAAGAUGAAUCACAGUUCACAAAAUCAACAACUUCCAGUCUUCCACAAUUCCACUUCGUGUGCCAACAGGGCCGCAUCAAGAGACUGGGCAUUCGGCGUCGGCUCGGUAGUGAGAGAUUCAGCCUGCGGGUGCGGGCCUUGUGGCAGUGGCUCGGCGUCACUCAUGAGGCAGCGGCUGGGCGUCAAUUCGAGCGCAGGAGACUGGGUAUUCAGCAGCGGUAAGAGACUUGAGCAAUUGAAUUUUGGUGAAUUUCAAAUUUGGAUUUAGUUAGAUACUGGUGAGUUUUAUGAAUUGUGAUUUGGGGAAAAUAAAGAUUCCUAUAAUUAUUAGGUUUGUUUUUAUUUUUUUAUAAAUAUUAAUAAAAGUAAAUUUAUAAAUUAUAAAUAAUUUUUUUUUCAAAAAGCUUACCCGGGCUGCAGCACGGGUUAGCCUUCCUUGAGCUUCGCCUCUAAUUAGAGAGAAGGGAAGAAAGAAAUCGAGAAGAAAAAGAAAAAAAAAUUGAGAGAAAAAGAGAAGAGAAAAGAAAAGAACUAAUCUCCACUCAAUUAGAUGUUUCAUGGACAUAACAUUAUAGGACCAUGAUGAAGGGCCAUGUGCAACUCAACACCUAAUUCCACUUAAAUGAAUUAUUUGUGCGGAACAAGUCACUAUAAGAAAACAGGCAAUAGAUGGUGGAAAAUAACUCUCAUAAAAGAGGGUGCAUGAUAGACAGUUUAUCUGUCAUAUAUGUCAUUAAUUUAAUUUAUAACAGAAUAUUUGUCGUCAUGAAUUAACGAUGGUAUUCUACAGUCAUAUAUCCGUCACACGAUAUUUUAAUGUGAAAAAAUAAUUAAAUUUAAAUUUGAAUUUAUUUAGAUUUUCGUGCCAAAUUUUUAAAAUUUGGCGGGAAAUUUUAUUGUCAUUGAUAAAUUUAUUAUUCAGUUUUGGCGGAAAAUUAUAUAAUCAUUUGUAAAUUUAUUAUUCCUUUUUUUGCGGGAAAUUAUAUAAUCAUUUGUAAAUUUAUUAAAAGGGGUUCUAAAAUACGAUUGACUUUAAGAUACGAAUACUUGGAGUCUAAGAUAUUAAUAGUUGGUUUACUUUCUGUAAAAAAGACAUGUAUAUGGGAUAUUAGAUAUUGCUAGUUAUAUAUGAACUAAAGAUAUAUCUAAUCCACCCUACUCUUGUGAUUAUUGUGAAUUUCGAUAGGGAUUCUAAUAGAAAUUUAGAAAUUGUUCGAUUUCGUCUUUGCUGCUGUACCGGACUUUAUGAUGUGUAUUUCCCGUCAUAAAGUUAAAUUUUAUAAAAAAAACUUACAAUUAUAAUUUAUUUUUUAAUUCAUGUUUACAAAUUUAAUUAAUUAGUAAAAAUGAGUAUCAUGAAAAAAAUAAAAACAAUUAAUAUUAAUUAACAUUCAUUCAUUACAACAAGUUAAUUUCAAAAUAAAUACAUCUAGUAUCUAAAAUUGUCAUCACAACCAAUACAUAUAUAAUCAACAUCCCAAAUUUAAAAAAAAAUCAUCUAAUUAAACUACAAGAAAAGCAACUCAAAUUCCAGCCACCAAGCCAACAAAACCUCCAGCAGCAAUACAUCUUCUAACGGCAAUAGUCCAAUACCCACUUACCCAACAACACUCCAACACACAUUCAUCAGCAACCUAGCAUCUUUCUACACCACUGGUAUUCCAACCACAUAUCCAGUAACCUAGCAAACCAAUCUAUUAAGAACCAAUCAAAAUACCCAAUGUUAUCGAAUGCAAAACAUGUAGACUACAAUCGUUAACAGCAACCAUUAUAAUUUGACACUAUAACUUUAAUUUCAAUAAUUUUUUACAAUUAAUAUUUAUAGUUUCAUACUCAUACUAACCAUUUUGCUGAUGCAACAAGGAUGUCAGAAAAAUGGUUAGCCCACUCCAAACGAACCUCAUCUAAUUCGUCCUGAGUGCAUACUUUCUUUCCAUUAAACUGUCAAUCACAAGAUUAUUAAGAGGUCAAACUUCAAAAAUAAUGUCACGUAUAUAGAAUAAAAGAAAGUUAAGAAAUGUCAUCAUCAACUUACAUUGUUCAUUAACAAACUAACAUCUGCUAUUAUUUCCUUCAUGUACCUUAACACAUAAUAGCCACACUCCAAUUUUGCAAUAUUUUGUUUCGGAGCCUGUUCAUGCCCAAAAAAAAAAAAAAAAACUUACAAAAUCUCAUCUAUUUUAGUUAUGUAAUCGACAGGCACAUAUAGUUUCUGUAGGGUUACUUUUUUUUACCUUCACGAUUCUCAUCUUAGAAUUAUAAUUCUAUUUUUCCUUACUAUCCUCUACUGUGAAGAGUGUCAUGGUGCUGUAAAAAAAAAAAAAGUAAACUGUUAUCUCUUAAUUAUAUUGAAAAAAUUUAAAAUAUCAAUUGCAUGAAAUGGAUUGGCAUACAUAUAUUUUAAGAAGCUGUUCUAAAUCAGUAUCAGGACUGGACUGCACAAGAUCCACAUAAAACACUUCCUUUUUCACCACGCCAAACACAACUAAAACCCAAUGGUAGCUAAUAAGAGAAGGCAGUUGGAAAAAAAGCAGAAAACAAAACCAUGAAUUAACAAACAAUUGUAAAAGUAAUAUAAAUUUAGAAACAACUGUAAAAGUUUUAAAUGAAAAUUAAAACUUACGAAUGAUUGUAUGGCAUGAGAAUGAGUUGUUUGUUUUUUGCUUUUUUCAAGUGGUCGUGAAUAUGCUCAACUCUCUUUUAGCGAAAUUUUUCUGGAGCCUUUGGAUUUGUUGGGCAAACCAAACUUGAACACAUGAAUCCAAUUGGUUUUAUUCAUUUUCUAGUUGGUAGAAUGGUGGAAUCCAACAUCCUGAAUAGAAAAUCAGUGCUUCAAUAAAAAAAUAUACAGAGUUGAUAUAAAAUAGUGUAAAGAAAAUUCAUUAAACUACUUAAGUCAUAUAUACUUGAAUAGUAUUUACUCCUAAUGAUUGCAUUGACAAUAGUUCAUUGCAAUCUUUCUUCUCAAUAUAAGCACAAGCAUGUCUUUGGAAUACAUUAUCAUCAAUCAUAUAUGUCAGAACACCAUCAUUUUCAUCAGGCAGGUAUUUCUCACACAAUUUCCCAAAUAGUUGCAGCAUAGGAUGACUGUUCUGGUGCUUGAAUACUGCACUCCUUGUGUUCCUCAUAGGCUGCACUACAACUUUUUUGGCUUUAUCCUUUUUCAAAAGUGGCUUUUUUGUUGGGCUGUCAGAAUGCAUCUCCUGUAUACCUUCAGCUAUGCCAUCAACACAGUCAAAAUCUAAUUGCUUUUUAUUGCUUCCAACUAUUUUCCUCUCAUCAUUUGCAUAAUCCUUUGAAAUUGAAGGAUUGAGUCUUGGACUUUUCCUCAAAAUGGCAGCAGUAGUGUUUUUUGGUGGCUUGCCCAAAUUAUCUAGCUCCUGUGGAUGUUGAUGAUAUCAAAUUGUAAGUAAAUAUAAGUUUUAUUCACUCCUAAGAAUAAUUCAAGCAUUAACACCAACAAAGUUUUUUAAAAAUGGGCCACACAUAUUUCAUUAGGUGAUUUGUAAUUCCAUUUUUAAAAUUAAUUCUAACAAGACGCGCGCACACACACACACACACACAUAUAGUAUGCAGCAAUAUAUAUAAAUAUGUUGUGGCUGUAAAGCCAGCUUGUGCAACUCGGCCCCUGUUUUAAACAUUGUACUUGAGUACUUGACUUAUAUAGUUAUAUUAAUUAAAACAAUUAGCCAACAAAAAAAAGAAAUCCCACAUACAAAGACAAAAACAACUUAAAUAUAGUUAAUUUUAUUAACUAACCUUAUGUGCAUCUCCUUCACUCCCUUCAUUUUUUGUUGACUGCACCGGAAAGGCAACAGCGGCAUUUGCUGGUGGCUUGCCCAAAUUAUCUACCUCCUAUGAAGAUUAAUUAUAUGAAAUAGUAAGUAUAUUAAACUAGAUUGAAUAGUAAAUAUACAAGGCAAUAAAUCAUAAUCUAGGAAAAAUACAGCCAUUUAUUAUGAAUAAACUAACCUUAUGUGCAUCUCUUUCGCUAUUAUUUUCACUGUCAUAAUUUUUGGCUGACUUUAUUGGAAUGGUAGCAGUUGUGUUUUUUGGUAUCUCUUCUUUCUUCCGAACUUCUUCCUUCUUUCUUAGUGUUGAUACUUUAGGAUGUUUGUCCCUUUGACCAAAAUCCAUUUCCUCUUCUUCACAGCUGACUUCCCUAAAUUAUCCAGCUUCUAUCAGCAUUAUCGACAAAUAGUAAAUAAAUUAAACUCUAAUGAGUGGAAGAUAUACAAGGAAAAAUACUUAAACUAGGAAAAAUUUGGUUAACACAGAUAACUAAAGCACCUUAUGUACAUCUCAUUCACUGUCAUCAUCGACCAUAUUAUGUGGGAAAGUAGAACUUCCAACAUCUAACACAGAUAACUAAACCAUAUUACUGGUUUUUUCCAAGCAUCCAACUCCCUCUCUCACUCAUUUUGGAUGGGUCCACACAGGCAGUAAAAGUACAUAGAAGUAUAAAUAAAUUUGCCCACGCCUUGCAUAUGACUAGUUCGAGGAAGCUUUCCCAAUGCUUGUGCAAGUAAGUCAUUUCUUGCAUCUGAAUUGAAGGAGUCUUUUUUGUCCUCCUUCUCUAGCAUUUCUUAAUAGCCCACCAUAAAGAAACUAAUAUUAUUAAAUGGGUAUAGAUCUAAUAUCAUAACAAUGUUUGUUCUAGUUAAACUUGAUUACUAUUUUCUUAAUAACAUGUUCGGUUUCAAUGUCGUUUCCUCCAUUCUUUAGCAUCCGAGCUCACUUCCAUAAAUCACUCCUUUCAAUUAAGUCUUCAGAAAGACCUAAUUCUGCACACUACUUCGAUAAACAAAUUAGAUUAGUCAACUGUUAAAAAAUUUAAUAGUGAACUAAACCUUUAAUAAAUAUUAAUUAAUUAUCCACCAACCACCUGUUUUUUCUACAUUUUUCAAAAAUAUACAAAUCUUUUUUUUUGCAGCGCUCCAUCUGAAGUUAACAUUUUUUUCAUUAGUCCACUCCCUAUAACACUGUUAGAACUUUGCUAACAUCAUAAAGGUAAAAUUGUCAUUUCAUAACGACACAAAAGUGGACAGGUGCAAAACAAUAUAACUUCAAGUGGAGUUCAGCAAAAAAAAAAAAAAAAAAAGAAUUGUGUAUUUUUGAAAAAAUGUGAAAAAAAUGUGGUCGGUGGAUAAUUUACCUUUUACAUGUAAGGGUAAAAACAUCAUUUAUACAAUAUUCCAUUUGUUCUCUUAACAAUUUGAAGACGAAAGUGGAUAGGUGCAAAAUAAUGUAACUUCAGGUGGAAUUCAGUCCAAAAAAAAGAAUUGUUUAUUUUUGAAAAAGCCUGAAAAAACAUGUGGUCGGUGGAUAAUUUCCCAUAAAUAUUUAACAAAGCAAAAAAUUUACAUAGUUAACUAAUAUAUAAAUUAUUUCAUUAGCAAUUAAAUAUUUAACACACUUAAAAUUUCUUUUAUUAAUCAAAUAUAUCUUUUUCGACUAAGGCGGUGAUUGCACUUGUUCAAGGCUCUCCUGUUCUUAUUGACACGACUGAUUUUUUGCAUAAUUAGAUUUGUUAUAACACAAGGUAAAUAUAAUGUAACUGCUAACAUAUUACUUGUCCUAACUUGAAAAUACUUUAAAAGAUUCCGACAAACGUUGGUCGACAAACUUUAUCCAAAUAGGACGUUUUAUUUGAUGGUACUCAAUUCGGGGUGAAUACAAUUUCUUUUUAUCAUUUCUAAACUUCCAGAUAUAAAUUUUGGCCAGCAUAUACUUGAAGUCCGAAAUGUUGUUCUAAUUGAUUGUAUCACCUGCUUCCUACUUCUAGGAUGAACAAUGAAAUGACCCUAGAUAAGAGGAAGAUUGUUUAUGUGAUAGUUAAUAAAAAUCCAAAUCAUAUAACUAAUAAUUGAAAAAUGACAGCAAAAUGUUUAAAUAGAAUGAGAUGGAUUUUUAAGAUUACCAGAACAAAUUUCCACAAACGCUCCUUUGUCUCCAGCGGAACCUUAUGCCAGUCGGAAUAAAGAAUUGAAACUGAUGUACGAGCUAAUACCCUAAUAAAAGAAGCCAACUCAGUGGCUUUAUCGCCUGCUAGAACGCCCAUUUCAUUGUAUUGUACCACAAUCUUUUCCUUCUUCGUUUUAAGUUUUUAUUUUGCCUAGAUCCCAUAUUUACACCUCUCCUAGAGUUACUGCUUUCAGGAAUAUCAACAUCAGGACGAACGAAAUUAACACCAUCCAUUUCAGCACAAUCAAAAUCACCUCUAUCUAAAUCAGCACCAUCAUUAUCACCUCCAUCAAACUCAACACCAUCCAUCUCAGCACCAUCAAUAUCAUCCUCGUCUUCUGGAUAUGCUAAAUUAGCAUUAUCGGCAAAUAAGUCGCGGUAAUCGUCUUCCAAAUAAGCUUCCUAAUUAGAAGCAACAUCAACCACUACAUGUUUUCCCUUAGCCAUAUUAGUGCACCUGAAAUAAAUUACUGUACUUGAAAUAAGUAAAUUAAAUUGUAUUAGUUAAAUGAAAAUAUGAAACUAUAUAACAAUCAAUCAGCUGCAAGAAUAAAAAGCUAAUAUAUAAUUCAUUAUCAUAUUAGUUUGUAACAUAGAUAGUGAAUAGUUAAAUAAACACUUACUGCAAAAAAGUUAAUCAAUUGGCAACCCAAAUUCCCUCUUUGCUAUUUCGUGCAUAGAUUGCUUAAUCGCCAUUUGCGGAACAUAAUAAAUCAUUAGUUGGAAAUUCCUUGGUGAAGGGAGGAUAUUCUGUUACAUUAUUGACCUUGUCUUCAUUUAUUUGAUUAAGAUUACUUAUAAUAGGCAUAUGACAUACAAUAGACCACUUUGUUUGAAUUUGAUCAUUUACAUAAAAUACUUGUUUGGCUUGAGAAGCCAAUAUAAAUGGAUUAGAUUUAUAUCCUAAUCGGUUUAAGUCUACUAAGAUGAAUCCAAGCUCAUCAUUUUUAACACAACUACUUUGAACCCAAUCACACUUCAACAUAGGGACUUUCAACGAAUGAUAGUCAAUCAUCCAAAUUUUAUCUAUAACUCCAUAAUAUGUCAUAUCACAUAUUUCAGAAUCAUCUACACUACCUCCAUUAUUUUGAGUUACUCGAUUUGAGUCUUGAUCUCGUGAAACAAAAUAGAAACCAUUAAUGUCAUAACCAUUAUGUUUAGUUACAAAAGGAAGAGGCCCAUGUGAUAACCAUCGCAAAGUAUCUGAUACGUGAUCACCCUUUUCAAUCAAGUCAUAUACCUAACAAGAUAAGAAAGAAAAGUAAACAUCUUUACUAAGUGAAAAAAAGUUUAGAUUUCUUUGUGAAAAUUAAUUAUAUACAUGCUAGAACCUUAUCAAUUAGUCAAUCGGUAAAUGUAUGGUUGUGUUCUUCUUGUAACCAUUUGUCAUUUUGAUGUGAAUAACAUGUUUUAAGCCACUGCAUAUGGUUACUAAACAUCCAGAACAUGAAAAAAUUAGACUGAAAAUUAUAGAAAUAAAUUAUAUAGAUUUGACUAGAAGAAAUUAACCAAAUUACCUAAUGUAUAGUAACACCUCUUGCGUGUUAUGCAAGAUGUACAGGUGCGCUUGAUUUAGUGAAUGUGGAGGAAUUUGUAGCACUUUCCCACCAGACAAUGACUUAUCUUUUGAUAGUUUUUGCACAUGUCCAAGUCGAACCCCAACUAUAUUCAUGUUUGACAUGUAUUCUACACAAAAUUCUAAUGCUUCUUCCGCAAUAUAACUCUCUGCUAUUCAACCCUCAGGACAGUUGUGGUUCCGAACAUAACUCUUAAGAGUUUUCAUGUAUCUCUUGAAAGGAUACAUACAUUGAAGGUAAACUGGGCCACAUAGUCUAACUUCAUUGACUAAAUGCACAGUCAAGUGUACCAUAAUGUCAAAGAAAUAGGGAGGAAAAUAUUUUUUUAACAAGCACAAAGUAACUACAUGCUCUGCCUGUAAUUUAUCCAAUGUUGACACAUCAACCACAUUGGAACACAAGAAGUUAAAAAAGAAACAUAGCCUGAUCACAACUUCUUUAACAUGCUUUGGCAAGACACACUGAAUGACAAUAGGCAAAAGUUAAUGUAUAAGAACAUGGCAGUCAUGUGACUUAAGGCCCUGAAGUUUAAGGUCCUUCAUUGACACAAGAUUUUUUAUGUUUGAGGAAUAUCUAGCUGGAACCCUAUACAUUUUAAAGCUUUGCAGAACCUUAUUCUUUCAUUUCUAGUUAAUGUAUAACAAGCUGCAGGAAGGAAUGUUUGUUUGUUCUUUCUUAAAGUUGGUGCUAAUUCAUCUCUAAUUCCCAUUUCCACAAGAUCAUUCCUUGACUUAAGACCAUCUUUGGUCUUUCCUGGAAUAUGCAGCAAUGUUCCAUAGAUGUUCUCAUACACAUUCUUUUCAAUGUGCAUAACAUCUAAUUAAUGACGUAUAAGUAAAUGCUUCCAAUACUCUAAAUUAUAAAAUAUUGAUUUUCUUCCACCAAAUGCGGUCAUUAUUGUCAAAAAUUUUGUGUUUUUUAGAGUUGUUCUUCCCCCAUUUAUAAUCAAUAGACUCAACCAGCCGCAAAACACUUCCCCAUCCAACGGUUUCAGAGCAAACUCUCUCUCUAUUGUGUUAUCAAAGGCUUUUCUUGGUCCUGAAAUUCAUGACCAUGAGGAAGCCAAUGACGGUGAUUGAUAUAUGUAUUUUUGCCACUGUGUUUAAGUCUAUAUUUAGUAGUGUCUACUCCACAAUAUGGGCAAGCAUUAUAUCCUUUAACAAUGCAACCAACUAGAUUUCCGUAUGCCAGAAAGUCAUUUAUAGUCCAUAAUAACACAACCUGCAAAUUAAAGAACUCUUUUCUGUAGGCAUCAUAAGCCUCCACCCUAACUUCUCACAAAGUUUGUAAAUCUUCUAUCAAAGGUGCCAAGUACACAUUGAUGUUGUUGCCCAGUUGUUGAGGACCAGAAAUCAGUAGGACAACAUCAUGAAUUUCCGUUUCAAACACAACCAUAGAGGAAGAUUAUACGUUAUAAGAAUAAUUGGCCAACUAUACAUACUACUAAGAGAGCUAUGUGGAUUUAUUGUAUCAGUUGCUAACACAAGACGGAGAUUUCUACGAUCUACGACAAAUGUAGGCCAUUUGUUAUCUACUAAUUUCUAUGAUGGCGAGUCUGCUGGAUGUCAAAGCUUACUAUCAUCGACUCUCUCAUUUGCAUGCCAAGUCAAGUCCUUGGCCAUUUUUUAGGACUAAAACAUGCGUUUAAAUCUAUGUAUGGGCGGACAAUACCCUAAAACCUUGGCAAGAACCCAUUUCCUAUAUUGGUCAACACUGCCAUCUUUUUUUUUCCAUCUAGAUAAACCACAACUAGGACAGUCAGAAGCCCUUUAUACUAUUUUCUGUAAAGUAUGCAAUCAUUUGGGCAAGCAUGUAUUUUCACAUAUUUUAAGCUUAAAGCGGACAUUGGCUUUCUGGCCUCAUACAUAGACACAAGAAUUUCAUUACUUUCAGGCAACAUCUUGGCUAGAAGGCCUAAUAACUCGGUAAAACUUGUGUCGAACCACCCAAAUUUACCCUUUAUAUUGAACAAGCUAACCAAAGUGCCUAACUUAGUAAAAUUUGUGCAUCCUGGGUACAAAGGCUUCUCAGCCUGUUCUAGAAGUUCUUUAAAUGCUUUAGGAUCUGCAACAUAAUCCCUAUAAGCAUCGUUAACCAUAUCUACUGUGUUACUGUCAUUGUAAUCUAUAAACUCAAAUGGAACAUUUACAUCUACAUUAGGAAGUGGUGUGUCCUUGACAUCUUCCCCAUGCCAACUCCAGGUUGUGUAAGAAACAUCAAAACCAUGAAAAUACAAAUGUUCACGAACAACCUUAUGUGUAUGAAAGGAUAAAUUCAUACAUUUAGUACAUGAACAUUUAAUGACGCUACUGCCUUCGGAAUUACCAAUAGCAAACUUCAUAAAUUCUUCAAUCACAUCUUCAUACUCACUUGACAAUUUAGUACAAUGAACCCAAGACUUAUCCAUCUUUAGUUUCAAUUAGUUUUGAUCCUGACACAUUAAGGAGGUUACAAAUAAAUAAAACAUCAAAAUACAUUACUAAUUUAUAUAAGCAAAGUACAAAUUAACACCACUUUAAAUACCUUUACUACAACAUAAACAUAACAACAAAUUUUACCCCCACACAUUAUAAUAGUCACAACACAAAAUACAAGUACUUAAACACAUUACAGUAGUCAAAAUCAUUACAAUAGUAAAUAAACACAACCUUAAAAUCAAGCCCAAUACAACUUCAAGUCAUGCUAUCAUAUAAAGGACCAUAAUAUUAAAAAUAUUUCAUACAACUAUAAAUUAACUAACGAAUUCAAAACUCUAAAAUAAAGAAGUGUAAUUUAUUUACUAGGUUAAAUUAAUUCCUCUACAGCAAACUAUUCCAACAAAAGAGAUGCAACAAACUGUGCAACAAGAGAGGUGGCAACAAGCUAUUCCAAGAAAAACAAAGGAUCAACUAUUACAUAAGGGAAGAUACUCUUUUUCAACAAAUUAAAAUACAAUUUUGCAUCAGAAGCUAAAUUAGGUUCUAGGUAUAAAUUUGUUGCAAAACUAGUACUACAACUUUAUCAUUUCUUAAUAACCGCAGAUUUCAAUAAAAAAUUAACCCUAGAUAUGCAAAAGUACAAAUUAACACCACUUUAAAUACCCUUACUGCAACAUAAACAUAACAAAAACUUUCAACCCCACACAUUAUAGCAGUCACAACACAUAAUGUAAGUAAAUAGACACAUUACAAUAGCCACAACAUAACAUAAAAAUCAAGCCCCAUACAACUUCAAGUCAUGCUAUCAUAUAAAGGACCAUAAUAUUAAAAAUAUUUCAUACAACUAUAAAUUAACUAACGAAUUCAAAACUCUAAAAUAAAGAAGUGUAAUUUAUUUACUAGGUUAAAUUAAUUCCUCUACAGCAAACUAUUCCAACAAAAGAGAUGCAACAAACUGUGCAACAAGAGAGGUGGCAACAAGCUAUUCCAAGAAAAACAAAGGAUCAACUAUUACAUAAGGGAAGAUACUCUUUUUCAACAAAUUAAAAUACAAUUUUGCAUCAGAAGCUAAAUUAGGUUCUAGGUAUAAAUUUGUUGCAAAACUAGUACUACAACUUUAUCAUUUCUUAAUAACCGCAGAUUUCAAUAAAAAAUUAACCCUAGAUAUGCAAAAGUACAAAUUAACACCACUUUAAAUACCCUUACUGCAACAUAAACAUAACAAAAACUUUCAACCCCACACAUUAUAGCAGUCACAACACAUAAUGUAAGUAAAUAGACACAUUACAAUAGCCACAACAUAACAUAAAAAUCAAGCCCCAUACAACUUCAAGUCAUGCUAUCAUAUAAAGGACCAUAAUAUUAAAGUAAUUGCUACCGUGCAACCAUUAAUUAACUAACGAACUCAAAACUCUAAAAAUAAAGAAGUGCAAUUUAUUUACCAAAUAAAAUUAAUUCCUCUAUAGCAAAUUGUUCCAGCAAAAAAAAUGCAGCAAACUCUGCAACAAAAGAGGUGGCAGCAAGCUGCUCCAACCAAAACCACAUAAUCAACUAUUACAUAAGGAAAGAUACCCUUUUCAAUAAAUUAAAAUACAAUUUUGCAUCAUAAGCUAAAUUUGGUUCUAAUUAGGUUCUAAGUAUAAAUUUGUUGCAAAAAAAGUACUGCUACUUCACUCAUUUCCUAAUAACCCUAAACUUUAAUGAAAGAUUAACCCUAGAUAUGCAAAUUUACCACAAUAGGCAAAUUAUUUGGCUCUUGGUCUUGCUACUAGUAGUACUACUGCUGCAAAAUAAUUAUCCCUUUUUCUCUAAUCCUUCAUCUCCAAAAUCUAAUUCACUCCUGCUACUGCUGCUAUUGCUUCUGCUACUGCUAACCCUAACAACUUACAUUCUUUGCUCUCUUUCAACAAAUUAACUAAUCAAUUUUUUAAUUAGGUUUUCUCGUUAGAUUAUUUAUAGAAUUAAUUGAUUUAACUUAGAUUUGUGCAAAAUAAACAGCAUGCAAAAUGAAGACAUAAUAGAAAUCAUACCAAGGGCUUUGAAAAAAUGAAGGUAAGGAGAAUAGCAAGAUGAGGACAGAAAACGAUGGCGAGGAACACAAUAGCUAAGAAGACGAUGGCGAUACCAGGAAAUGCACCUUCACUCACUCAAUUUCACAAUGCAAUCGGUAACCAAUACGUUAGGAAGACGAUGGCAAGAUGACGACAACCGAGAUUUUGGUAAGAUGAUGGCGAAAAGGAAGAAAAUAUAAGAGAUUAAGAGAAGUUAGAAUCGAGGAUUUUAGCCUUAGCUUAUACUCUCUGUAUGUUUGUGAGUUGUAUGUGUUGAUACUUAGAAAAAAUUAGGGAUUGAAUAAGUGAAACUCAGCACCAAAACGGUGCGUUUCAAUUUUUAAAUUUUAUUUUAUAAUAAAAAAUUUUAAAAUUUUAUAUUUAUGUACAAAAUGUUGUCAUUCCAACUCCGCUAAAACAAUGACAUGUCUUCAUUCGUGUAAUAUUUUAUUUUAAAUAAUACCAAAAGUGUGGGUCAAAAACGCGCCAAAUUAAGUCAACGUGAAAAUUCUAUCAUGAAUUAUUGACGUUUAAAUUUAUAUCACAAAGACAUCAUAUAUUCUUGACAUAAUCUUUUUCUAUCACGAGUUCAUUACGAAUCAGUCAUGAAUAUAUGAUAGCCAAAAAUAUAUCACAACUAUAUCAUGCUUUUAUGACCCACUCAGAAUCCGUCAAAAAAGUGUCUGUCAUCUAUUGUCAGUUUUCUUGUAGUGAGUUUAUUGUUUUCAACAAUAUCAUAUAUGUGUCCAGUAAUAUGAGAAUACCUUUUUAUUCUAUUUUGGCUUGAUUGACAUCAAGAUAAAUAAUCUCACUUAAUUAACUUAUGUAGUAAACAAACAUUAUUAUAGACAAGGAAAAAAAAGUACAUAAAUAUCCUAAAAUGAAUAUAGAAUUUAUGGUUAAACCAAUUCAAUAAAACUUAUUUCAUUUCAUUUCAUUUCUUUUCAUUUCUUUUGUUUAUUCAAUUAAAAUAAAUGAAUAAAUUGUUUUUCACUAAAAUUUUAUAGAAAUCAUAUUAAUUUUUUUUAACAAUUAAUAGCCUUAUAUUAAUUUAUUUACUUUACCUUCCAUUUAUAAAUCUUAUAUGUGAUUUAUUAAAUUUAUAUUAAUUAUGGCAUUAAUUUCGUAAUUUUAAUGGCAUUACGAAAUGUUCCUUAUUUUAGUUAUAUAACGAAAUGUAAUUUGGACCAUUUCAUACAAGACUAUCGGAUUUAAUUUUACGCGCUUAAAUUUAGUUUGAGUAUGACCGUUGACAGGGCUUAUUAUUAUAUUAUAUUUUCCCUGACAAUUUCACUAAAAUAGUCAACUACAAAAUAGGACUGCAGUACCACGUGUUGGCUUACAUCACUUUUUGUAAUUAAUUUUGUUUAUUAGCCGGGAAAUUUCAUUGAAACUCAAUUGUUACGAAAAGAUUGACCAAGUUUUAUCGUAGGUAGCAAUUUGGUUCAGGAUUCGUUGAUUCAAUUUGAUUCGAUACAAAUAAAAUGAGUUUGGGUUUGAAAAAAUUGAUUAAUUUAAUAAAUUAGUGAAUUCAAUUUGAUUCGCUAAUUAAACGGAUCGAAUCCGAAUUUGAGACAUUGAUUCAUUUAUGAUUUGCUUAAUAAAUGAGUUAUAAACUAAUCAAAUAUAAUCUAUUUGUUCAAUUAAAUUGCUUAUUUAUCGUUAAAUAUGUAUGAAAAAAUUUUAAAGUUUGAAGGCUAAAUAGCAUCUAUAAAUGAUAAUAAAUUUUAAAUUUGUGGUCUUUUAUAAUUAUUUUGCUUAAUUUUUGUUUAUUAAUUAUAUUUUUGUAAAUGAAUUUAUAUUCAAUUUGAUUCGUUAUGGAUUCAUUAUAAGAUAAACAAAUAGUAAAUGAUUCUAGAUUUGAUUUGCUUCGUUUAUUAAUUCUACUAAAUGAAUUAAACGAAUCGAACUAAAUAUCGUUUAAUUCGAUUCAUUUAAUAAAUAAAUCAAAUCUAAAUAUUGAGAUUUUAAUUCGUUUAAUAAAUGAAUCAAUUUCAAUCAACAGAAUUUUAUUCCAAUUCAUUUAUGAUUCUAUUCGAAUUCGAUUCAUUUAUUGGUUUUGUCACCUACUUUUAAGGGAAAACUUACACAAAGAUGAUUAGGUGCACAUAAUUCAAAUAAAAAAAAUUAUAAAUUAAAAUGAACUGAUGUCAAAUAAGAGAAUAAGAAAUAAAAGAAAGUUGACCUAAGAAAAAAAAACACAUGUUUUUUAGUUUUCCAACCAGUUUUAAUUGGCCGGCUAGGGCUAGUCGAAAUUUUUAAGAAAUCAACUUAGAUUUUGUUUACUCUUUACCUAUAAAAAAAGAAAUGCAGCCAUGUCUGUUUAGUGUAUGGAGAUAGGGAUGGCAAAAAUCCCCACAGGGACGGGUACCCUCGGGGGUUUUUUCCAUUCAGGGAGGGUAUAGAGAUAAUUUCAUACCCAAUUUCUUAUUCGGGGAAGGGACGAGGAAAUUUUUUUACCUAAUUUCUUAUUCGGGGAGGGGAUGGGGAUGAGGUGGAAUCCCCAUCCCCUACCCAUUUCCCCAUUUUAAUUUUUAAUUUUAUUUUUAUUUUUAUUUUUUAAAAAUUAAUAGUAAAUAAAUAAUAAAAUUUGAAUUAUAAAAUUAUAAAUAUUGGUAAAAAUAAAAAAUAUCAAAAUAUUUAUAUUAUUAAUUUUUAGGCUUAAUUAACUAAUUAAAGUCCUAAAUUUUUAUUUAGGACAUUAAAAAGACCGGGUAGAUUUUAUUAGCCCAAAAAUUUUGUUUUAAUUUUAAUAUUCAUUAAAUAUUUUAAACUUAAAUCUAUUUUUUAUUUAUUUUUAGAUGUUAUAAUUACCCACAACGAAUCACAAUUUUAAUAUUUAAUCUAAUCUAAUAUUUGCUCUUGAUUUGCUCUGACUUAACUAUUGUGUUAUAAAGGGAAUAGUCCACAUUUAUAAAGUACCCACGCCACCAUUGAAAAAGUUAAUUUUGAAUCUAAAUUCAAUUUUAUUUGUAACAAUUUUGUAUUAGACUAUUAAUUUGUCCAUGAUAGUUUACAAAAGAAGUUUGUAUCCCUUGCAUGCUAAGUUACUUACUAAUUUAAUGCAUGUGACUUUUGUAAUGGAUAUUAAUGUAAGAUAUAUUUCUAAUUUUACUUUUAUUUGAAUAUGAUUAACUCAAAAUCAAAAACAAAAAAAUGUAUUAGUUAUUCGGGGAUCGAGGACUCUCAGAGAUCCCAUGUUAUUAUUCGGGGAGGGGAUGAAAAUUCUUUCAAGUAAUUAUGACGGGGAUGGAGAGGGGACGAGGACAUACACAAAAUAUCGAGAAUGGAUACGGAAAGAUUGGUCCCCUCCCCUCCCCACCCCAUUGCCAUCCCUACAUGGAGGUUACGAUAGCCACGUAUAGUUGGUUUUUAGUGUAGGCUCUCCUGUGAAACGUUUCCCAAGGUGGCUUCUAAUAAGCUAGAAUGAAGUUUAUAAAUAGUUGUUCUUGGUUAUUCGAUUCUAAAGAACAAUAUAUAUAAGUUUCAAUCUUUGUAUUUCUUAAUGAGUCAAAAUCCUAUUUAUACAAAAUACUCAUUAACAUAAAAGAAAAAUAAUCAACACGAAUAAAUGAGGCUCAUCUCCCCAAAUAUACAUAAUAACGUGCGAGUCAUGCACAAUAGUUUUCAUUCUUGCCCACCAUGCAUCAUAUAAUUUUCUUCUUCUCCAUGUAAUUAGCACCUUAUUAGCGUAGUUAAUUUUCCACAUUUAGUUGAUUGCCAGUUGGUGCGUCAUUUUCAUAGGCAUUACUGUUGCAGUAAUUAUUAGAAAGAAAGGAAAAGAAAACUCCUUUGACGUGACAUAUGAAGUUUCGUCUUUCAAUUUCUUGCAUAUUUAAUAAUUUAAAUGACGUGGGAUCACUUUGGUACUCUGCUGUAUAUACGACAACAUGUCCAUUAAUCAUGCAGAAGCAUAGCUGGCCUUGAUGUAAGUGUUUUUUAGUUGAGAUAAUAAAAUUUGUGUGUUAAAAACAAGAGGUUCUGGAAUCGAACUGUUGAUAUGGAUAGAGAGAAUUUAGUUACCAUUAUGUACCACGCAGGUCAAAAUCAAAUUAAGCAAAAGUAGGUGCAAUUUUAAAAUAUGAGGAAUUUACUCCUAGGAUCUCUCUGUUUGCCCUGUAUCUUUGGGCUUUGCUUUUAAUUAUACUGAUGACUUCGAAAGGUCUAUUUUAAUCAUAAAUCUAUCUUAAUUUAGAUACAAUUUCUAAAACAAGUAUUGAACACCACCUAGUUUAUAGCUAUAAGAAAACUUAACCAAAGAUUUUUUCCUUCCAAUUCAUUGGUGCAUAAUUUCUCUCAAGGUAACAACAAAGUGGUAUUGAAACUAUCUGACGAUUGUUUAUUUCAUAUGCCAAAACGUUAAGCUCAAAGCUUAACUUGGAGGAAAUCAUAGGCUUCUUCUUUAUGUGUUUUUAUCAAGUCUAUCUUCAAAGACAUUUAAAAGUUUGAAACAAGCCUCCAUUUUUUACAUAGAUAUUAGGAAAAAGGAUAGCUACAACCUGUUGGAGAAAAAUUUCACACAGCUAAUCAAGUUUUCAAUAAUAAAAAAAUUCAUACCUCCUUUAUAUCAUAAUACUUUUUGACUCUACUAAUUUAAAAAAAUUGACUUUAAUCAUUUAUAAAAAUAGAAAUAUAAUAUUAAAUUAAAUGUAAUAAUAUGUACAUUUUAAAAUAAUUUUACCCUUUAAAAAAUAUUUUAAUAUUUUACAAUCUAUUAGACAUAUUUUAUUACAUUAAAGUUAAUUUUAAAUAAAUAGAGACUUAGUAUUAAAAUAAUUAGUCAGUUUAAAUUAUUUAUAUUAUAUUAUUUGUAUUUAUUAAAAACUUUAAAGUUAUUUUUUUAUUUAUUAUAUUCUGAAAACUUUCUAAAGAAAAUAAAUCUUACUCUGAUUAAUUUAUGAGCACAAAGGCUUAAUUUAUACAAGUAUUUAAAAUAUGAAAAAUGAAAUGAUAUAAUUAACAUUAUUUGGGAAUAAUGAUUGAUUAGUAAAGAUUGAGUCAAUUAAUCUUUAUGUUAAUUUACAAACAAUCUUUCUUAAUCAAUAAAGAAGAUGGACGGUAUCAAUUAUUUGAUUGACCAUUAAUUGUUUUGUUUGCAUCAAUAUUGUUUAACUUUCCCCCUGACUUUCCACCCUUAACAACGUUGACAAUUUAGUAGUAAGAACUGAAUUGAUUGUAUAACUUCAUCUCUGGAAAGGUUAAUUUCAGAUUACUAUUCGUCGAAUGAUAAUUUUUAAAUGAUUGUAAAUCUCAAUUUAUCCCCCACUUUUUUUAAAAAGACAAAAAAAUUUCAUCAACACACCACAAUUUUUCCUUUAUCUUUUGAAUAAAAAUGAGAAUUAGUUGAAGUUUACAAUUGUUUGGAUGAUAUUAUGAAAAUUGUCAUUUUACGAAGAGGGUAACGUGAAAUUUACCCUUUCUAGAAUUAUUCUGAGUGAAAAGUUAUGUUAGUGUUUGUUCAGUUAAAUGGCGGUUGAUAAACAAAACGCUAGCUACCAGGCACCAGCAAUUUAAUAGUAUUAUAGCUGCCAUUUCAAAAUGACUAUAGUCCUAAAACCACAACACCACACAGUAUGAAACCGUGCCUUAGUAAUUAUAUGCUGAAUGUCUCAACAUUUAUGUUCAGAAAAAAGAAAGGAAAACAGAAUGAGCAGAAAAUAUACACACAACAUUCUAGCAUAAUUCUCUAAUCUGGUUAUUCCAAUAAUCGAUCAGAAUCCACACUGAAUGGAUGGAGGUCAACUCCAUCUGUAGAAGAACCUGAAGGCGGCCCAUAAAUUGACGACGUGCUUUGUGUAGUAAUUGCAGUGUUUUCUAUGCAGAAUUGGUAAUAUUUCCUCAUUGCUUCUGCCUUGGUUUCAUCGAUGUCUGAGACACUUGAAUCAGAGACUAAAUCUAGAACAUCAACACCGCAUUCGAGCAUGCGUAAAACCGAAGACAUCGAAGGCCUAAUCGUAGGAGAAGCGUUGGCACACAGCAGAGCUACAUUGAUCAUCACCAUCACUUGUUCUUUGUCAAAAUUUGAACCCAGAUUUGUAUCAACUAGCUCCAUUAAUUUUCCUUGCUCUUUUAAUACAAGCGCCUGAUUGAAAAGAAGUUGAAAAAACAUAUAUUUGUUCGGAGAUAAAUUCAAGAUAAAAAAUGCAAAUCAAUAAACUGUAGGAGCCUAAUAUUACCCAAUCUAGAAGAUAAAACAUAUCCUCUUUUGUAACGUUGCUUCUACCGCUGACAAUUUCUAAGGCAACAAUUCCGAAACUAUAGACAUCUGCUUUCUCUGUUAAAUGGCCCCGCAUUGCAUAUUCUGGUGCCAUAUAUCCACUGCAAGGUCAUGAAUUUGAAUAUUAAAUUGAUAUUGUAUGAGAAGAAAAAUUGAAAACAUUGAUGAGUAUGCAGCAACUCACAUUGUUCCGGCAACUCGGGUGCUUAUGUGGGUGUUUUCUUCUUCGUCAAGCUUGGCCAAACCAAAGUCGGAUAUUUUAGAGUUCAGGUCCUUGUCAAGAAGCACAUUAGUUGCUUUAAUGUCUCUAUGCACAACCUUUAUCCUUGAUUCUCCAUGCAGAUAAGCUAAACCUCUUGCUAUGCCGAGGCAAAUCCUGCGCCUUGUUGGCCAAUCCAACUUCAACCGAUGCUCUUUAGGACCUUCAAAUCAUUCAAGAAAGAAUAUAAAUAAUUAGAAUCUAAUACCACAUUUAUAUGUACGUAUGAUUUAUGUUGAACUAAUAAUUUAUAGUUGAAGUAUAUACCAAACAAAGCUCGAGCAAGGCUGUUGUUUUCCAAGUACUCAUAUAUAAGCAACAAUUGAUUUCCUUCAAUGCAACAUCCAUAAAGCUUUACAAGAUUAGGGUGUUGCAAAGCAGAAAUCAUGCCAAUCUCAUUAAUGAAUUCUCGAUUUCCUUGCUUUGAUUUGGAAGAAAGUUGCUUGACUGCAAUCGCUGUGCCAUCUGCCAACAGUCCCUGCAUUUUUAAGAAAUGCAGUCAGAUUUGUAAAAUGGAAAGGAAUUGUUUAUCGCGCAAAACACACCUUGUAAACAGGGCCAAAACCGCCUUCUCCAAUCUUGUUAUCAGUAGCAAAGUUGUUGGUGGCAGCUUUAAUUUCCUUAAAGGUAAAAGAAGCAGUAUGCAAGUCUACACCCCUCAGCUCUGUGGAAGAAAUUACUGGGUUAAUAAAAAUGAAACAUAAGCAUAACAAAAUGAUCUGUAAAAUGAAGAUAUCAUGAUUUGCAUAAUCUUUUAAAGACUUGAAUUAGAGAAUUAUUUAUUUGUAAGGAAUAUUCCGUUAAUUUAUCAGUACACUACCUCGUUCCAGUGUAUUUUGUGGUCGAAAACAGCCCUUCCACUGAAGGAUACCCACCACAACUAGGAUUAUCAAAAUUGCUGCAGCCACUGCGAUUCCAAACGCGGUGCCUACUGAUAUACUAUUGCUUCCAUUUUCUGACGGGGGUAUGAAAUCUGCUUCACACAGGAAGUUACACGUAUCUCCAAUGUGAGGGUUAUCUACUUGAAAAUAACUUAAAUACAAGGAAUUCCUGUAGAAAUAACCUUUGGGAAUUUGUAAAAUCUAAGGCACUUACGAAAUGGGAAAGUAUCAAAUUGGAUGAGAGAAGCCUUGGGUUAGUAUUAAACCUACCUGGAUUGUAAAGAGAAAUAGCUGAUAUGAGAGGACCAUAAACUCCUUUAACAGGAAUUUCAGUUGUCCCUUUCCCAGCCCAAUAGAGACGGAUCUCCAUGGUCCCGUUGGUCACGGCCGCCGAAAAUUGUUUUACAAUUGCUUUACCAACGCCGCCAGCUUCAUUCUCAAUGUUGAAAUCCUUCAGCACACGCUUCCCCUGGAACCAUAUUUCCAAUUAACUUAAAUUUCUAUGCAAGUUAAAGUAAAAUCCAAGAUGGAGAAUAUCUAUUACAUUCGUUUUUUUUAAAGAAGUUUUUGUGAAAUCCAAAAGCGAAUCCAUGAGAGUAAUUAUGUGUGCAUUGCUGAAUCCCAACUGAAAAAGCUUGUUGUGUAACAGCUUUCUGAAUCCCACGGAAAUUAAAAUCUACAUAAGGCUGAACUGGAAAAGAUUUGCUAGCUCAAUAUUCAAGAAAAGAUGUAAUAUCAACCGUGAUUAAUUGGGGGUGGUGAGGUAGUAUUAAGCAUUAGUCACCUGAAUGUAAACAUCAAAUAUGCGCUUUCCAAAACUGCUAAAAUUUUUGUCAUCAGUGAACAGUAUCUCUGCAAAGUGAAGAUUGACUGUGUAUUUUCCAUUCCCCAGACAGAAUCCGUAGUAAGUUAGAGAUAUGGCAGAAAGCCGGGCCGUUGUGUAUAAUUGAUAAUCGUUCAUCAAAAGUCUAGACGUGUUUGUCUGAAUAUAAGGGCCGAGUUUGAGACCAUUUUCCAAGAAGUGACCAGUGCUGCUAAGCACCCAAUUUGUUCCACUCUGGCUAAAUGUUGAAGGCCCUGCCUCAGACGUAUCCUCUUCAAAUGUCGUAUUUCCAUUGGCAGUCACUUGUUUCCCACCACAGUUUAUAUGGAGAGAGUAGUAAGCUAGAACAAAAAGAACAGUGAGCAUCCAGUGUACAAGUAAAAACUUUUAAAAGCCAAGUAACCAAUGAAUUUUAGCAGCAGAUGAGUUAGCGUAGCGUUGUUGUCCAAGGUAGUCAAAGUUUUGGGUUUAAAGGAAUUGCUUCAAAUUGGAAGCCAACAUAAAAAAAAAUGUGACAAACAUUUAGUAUGCUAAGCAAGAUAGGAGCUGCGGGAAAUUAACUGGUCUUUUCCAUGUUUUUGUCAAUUAUAAAAUUUUGCUCGUCAGGAAAAUUCAAUGUAUUUAUGAAAGAAUAUUUCAGAUCCUGACUUACUUUUUGGGCAUUGGACGCUUCUCAAGCAUGAUACAAUUCCAGUGCUGAAAAGAUGUAACGUAAUGGUCAGCAUCAUAACAGCAUAACAUAUAAUCGAAUUUUGAUCAACUUGCCAGAGCAAUAUUCAUCCAGACAAUGCCAAUACCCAAUUAAAUUAAAACCAAAAAGCUUCUAUUAUGCAUUUCAAUAUGUUAUAACUAGAUGGUGAACUGAAAACUUACGAGUUAUUGCCCUUAGAGAAGCUGGCAAACAAGUUCCUGGAGAAUUGCACAAAAUGUAAAGCUUAGUCAGUGUAUUGAAGAUAGUUUAUUGAUGGAGGUGCUUAAAAGCUUCAAUUGAUAGUAUUCUUACACGCUUCGCUUUUGGCAGCUCGACUCUGCGCUUCCAUCAGUGAAAUUAUUAUAUGAAAGAUCUCUGCAAACAGAAAGUUUUAUGUGAUUCAUCGUUUCCAAAAAAUUGCACCAAGAGUGCGAAGGAGAAGCUUACAUUUUGUCUCCUCUUUCAAGCAUCCAAGGAGGUAUCGCUCCAGUUAGCAAAUUUCCGGUGAAGUAUCUAUAGCAAAAUAUAAUAACAAAGUAGUAAAAGAAGUACGUUAAACAACCCACGCUUACAAGAGGGAAAUUUGGAAUAAGAAAAAAAGAUGCUUACAUGUAAUCCACAUCAUAUAGAUCAUCGAAGUUGCUUGGAAUUUGUCCCCUUAGUCUGCUAAAGCUGAGAUCCCUGAAAGAAAAUUCAUAAAAGAAUUAUAAAUAUUAGAUAAACUGAAAUUUCCCCAAAUGUAUACCUUCAGAGAAGAAUGAACGUUUGUACUAACAAGACUUUCAAUUUUGUCAUUUUCCCAAGAUAACGAGGCAGCUCUCCUGUGAUAUUGCAAUUCCUCAAUAUCCUGCAACGACAAGAUCAAACAUUAAGAGAUUUUUCGACAAGCCAAAAGAUGAAGAAAAUUUCUAUGAAUUGGGUACUUACAAUUUCGUCAUCUUCAUAUUACCAAGUUGUGGAAAAGUUGCUUCAGGUCCAUUCAGGUCACUAAUUCUCCUGCAUAGUGAAAUUCAACAAAAACCAAUAAGCCUAGUAUCAGUCAAAUACAUUAUGCACAUGAGGUAACAAAAAUAGAAAAACCAUACAAGUCAGUUAAAUUUUCCAGAGAAAAAAUGCCUGAAGGAAUUGGCCCAACCAAACCGCUUGGCUGAAUGAAUCUGUUGAUACAUGUAAUAUUUAUUUCAUUAGUCACCAUACGCAUAAUUAUUGUUAAUAAAUAAUAAAUUAAGGGAAAAAAAAUAGCUCUUACAGUUUUUCAAGCUUUGUCCAGUUCUGAAUAAAACUAGGUAUUUGUCCUGUGAAUUGGUUAUCACUAAUUCGACUGCAUCAUUUGGGAUAACAAAAGAAAAAAUAAAUAAAUUAAUAACCAUGUACUGUUUUAAGCACACGCAAGAUGCUAAAUUGUUCAAAAAUCAGCAUAGCUGAGGUCAGCACUGAAUCCAAAUUGAAGAAAGAAGACUAUGAAAGAGUAAGAAAAAUCAAAAGCUUACAAAUCCUUCAUAUUUGUCAACUUAGCAAAUGUUUUAGGCAACUCCCCAGUAAAAUUAUUUGAACUAAGAUGUCUGUAACAAGAGCAAUAACGAGCCGAGUUAUCAAUCAAGUAAAUGUAAGUUUUUUCUUCAGGAUUUUGAUUUUGAAUAAAAGGGUCCUAAAAAUUUAUAUGAAUCACGUAUGCCUUACAAUUUUUCAAGGUUGAGUAGACUACCAAGCUCCUCAGGCAGUUCUCCUGAGAACUGAUUGUAUUGGACGGUCCUAUUCAUUUUACCGAACAUAAAAGAAUCAAUUAAAACAAGAUUAAUAUCUUUCUAAAAUCGAAGGGGGAAAAAGAGAUGCAAAAAUAAAAACUCACAGAUUGACAAGUGUGGAAAUAUUUGCUAAAUAUUUUGGGAUUGGACCCUUUAGCCGGUUUGCUACGAGGGAACUGAAACAAGAAUCCCAUAUGUGUUAGUUUAAAUGUAAAAUAUCUUCUGUUCAUCUAAAUUUAAAAUAAACAUCACGUUUACAUUCAUGAAGCAAGAUAACCAGAAAUUGAGCUACGAAUUGAAGGAUUUUGCAGGUGGGAUGAAUGAGACAUUAACUCUGAUACUAUUUUAAAAAAUAUUUAAUUUAUAAGAUUUAGUUGAUAAGUAAGGGUUUAAAAAAAUAUUAAAGGUUCAUCUCAAAUUCUUUAUUAUAUAUGUUAUCAAUCUCCCGUAGUUACUUAUAUAUGAUUUAGCAAAAAAUAGACAGUUGCUAAGUUAUAUUUUGUAACUUACAGUUGACUCAAAAUUAGUUUCUCAAGACCCCUAAGUGUUUGAUAACAAACUUUUCAUUUUAUUAAUAACUGAUUUUGAAUUGAUGUAAGUUACAAAUGAAAUGACUUAUUAGUAAGACCCAGCAAAAAACCGUCCGCAUUAGAGAAUUUUCAUAAGUACACUAUAUAAUAAAGAAAAGAAAAAGUAUGGCAUACAUAUUAAGAAGCGGCAGAGAGGCCCAUUCUGAGGGGAUAGUGCCACUAAGGUAGUUGAGAGUGAGAUCACUGUUCAUGUCAGACAGUUAAUUAAUUUCGUUAAUUAUAUAUAUAACAAAAUGAACAUAUGUAAAUGUCAAAUGGAAAAAUUUACAGUUAAUGAAGGGUAAAAUUGGAAUGGAGAAGUGCUUACAUAUCUUGGAGGAAAGUCAGUUCGGCCAAUUUUGGUGGGAGAACUCCUGUGAGAUUCUGCUCCUUCAGAACUCUGUUUGAGAUGAAAAGUAUGAGAUUUGAUUUAUGUAUUUACUUAAAAAAGGCAAGUGUAUUAUAUAGAUAAACAAACAAAUAAUGCAGGGGUGUUUGGUUACUUUGAUUUGGUACCGUUUUGGUUUACCGUUUUCUGUUUCCAGAAAUGAAAAACAAGAAACGUAUUUAGUGGCACCAUUUCUCAGCCUGUUUUUUUGUCGGACUGAAAAUGAGUACAACUAAUUUUGCUCAAUAAUGCAUUCAGUCAUUAAAUUUACUUAGAUUGAUGAAUUUAUUAAGAUCUAACGGCUAGGUGCAACAGUAACACAGUACCACCAUUGCACCGUAAUUUUCUCCUUGUUUGCAUAAAUAUCGCAUAAGUCUUCUUUCGAGAUUCGAGCCGCACCAUCAUCAUUUGGCCCCCCCGCAAACUAUAAAAAUUGCUAUGUAACAAACAGACAUUGAAAAAGACAUGUGCAUUUAUAAGAUUUUGCCACGUGUGUAAAGGAUAUUGAAAAUUAACAGGUUUUGCCGGUUCCUACCCAGUUGCAAAAUUUCACGAGGUCAAACGAAUUGGAAAAAUGAAACUCCCUCCUCGUUAAUGCGUUAAAAGGUAAGAGGCCAAAAAAUUUGAACUCUUCAUCAACAUAUCUUUUUAAUUAUCUAUGUCAAGAUAUUUAUAUUUUUUAAAUUUGAUAAAGAAGAUGAUUUAUCUCAAUUAUUGACUAUUUAAUAUGAUUAGUGAAUAACUAAUUAUGAUGUACAUAGAUAUAAUGGAUGAAAAAUCAAAUCCCUUCUGUCGACAUUUUAAAUUUAGAAAACCCUACCCAUAUAUAAUAAUUAAGACCGUAUAACUCUUAUUAACUAGUUUAUUCAAUUUUAUAAAUUAACUUUAAAAUAUUUUUUAAUUCAUUUAUAAUUCUUUUUUUCAUGUAAAUGAGUAAUGAAAAUAAACAUUUUUAUGUAAAUAAAUAUUUUAUAGUGUAAUAUCAAGUAAUUUUAUUGGUAAUCAUGAGACAAUUUAUUUUAUGAUUUUUUUUAGUACUAUAAUAUUUUACAAUGAAUCUAUGGAUAUUUUCAAUUAAUAUCUAUUGAGACUAAUCUAAAUUAAUUUUUAUUGUAGUGCAACUUAGAUAUCUACUUCCACUAAUAAUUAGGAGUAUGUAUUUGCUAUGCUCUAGCUAUAUUUGUAGGAAAAAUAAUUUAUUCCUACCAUUUUAUACAUGGGUUUGACUCCCAUGGCAUAUCUAUGGGACUCUAACCAACACCCUCAUUCAUGUCUACGAAACAUGGUGGCAACUUAUCUUAUACAGGGGUAGACCUAGGACUUUUUAUUACAUUGGGCUAAAUUUAUGGUAAAUAUUUGUAUAAAUAUCUAUUCAUGUACAAAAGCAAAAACAACAUAUAUAUCAAGCAACACCAUGUCAAAACUCUUAGUUAAACGCCUAUAUUUAAUAAAAGAAUGACAAUAAAUACAACAAAUAAGCUUAUAUGUAAAUUAUUAAAUUUAAAAAAUUAUUUAUGAACUUUUUUAUUUUAGUGAUAGAGAACGUGAUAUAUUUGAGUAAUUUGAUUUUAUGAAAAGAAAAAAAAAGUAUGAUUAUGAAGGAAAUAAACAAUGAAAUUAUGAAAAUAUUAUUAAUUUUUAAUAUAUUAUUCUAUAACUUUCUAAUACUAGUGAUAAUGUUAUAAUGUAUAUAUUGACAUAUAUAUAUUUUUCUAGUAGGCAAAAUCAUAGCAUUUUUUUUAUAAUAAAUUAAAGUAGUGCUAUGAUUUUAGACCCCUAAUUAAUUCAAUUUAUUCCAUAGAUAUAUGACGUAAUUAUUUUAUAAAACAACUCUCUAAUUCUAUUUGAAAAAGAAAUAGUUGAAUUGGGGAUAUAUUUGAAAAUAAAAUAAAAAAUCUAUUAUUAUAUAAAAAUACUAAGCAAUAAUGCAAUAUAAACGAAAUUUUACAGGCUUAGGUCAGCCUCCGAUCUUAGGAAUUUGGAAUAAAUUCUUAUUAUUGGACAAGUAGGGAUAACCAAUUAACAAUCCGAAUGUGGAAGUAUUAGAGUAAUAAUCACACAAUUUAGUCUAGUUUGCCCCUUAUUUUGUCUUCCAAAGGUAGCCACUUACCUUAAUUUGCCUCACAUUAGAUAAUACCAUUGCUAUAAGAAAAAGAAAUAUAUGAGUUAUAAUUAAUUUUUCACUAUUGAAACAAAAAUUUAUUAAUUAAAAGUGUUCUCAUAUGUAUGUGUAAAACACUUAUAUUUUUUAAUAUAUCUCACAUAAUAAUAUUGUUGUUAUUAACAAUACACGUGUUAGGGAAUUUUAAUUACAUCCAAGAUCUAGUAAGUGAAAAUAUCAAAUAAAUGAUAAAUAGAAAAUAGAUAGAGAAUAAAAUCAAUUACACAACACGAGAAUUUACGUAAAAAAUUCUAUACUUGAGAAAAACAUGGUCGCUAAAGACGACGAGAGAAAGAUUCACUAUGUGAAAAGUUAUUACAAUUUAUAUAGUAUUUUUCUCGUAUCAAAAGCUCCAAUAUAACACAAUCUCUUAAUAGACUUACUGUUUCUCUCACAUUAGAAACUAUACACUUUACAGAGAAAUUGAUUGUUAUAUUAUACCAAAAGUGAACCUAACCUACUCAUACAUAGUAAUUAUUUCUUAUAGAAAAAAUAUUCAUUUUCUUAUGUAAGUUGUACUCUUCCUUGAAUAAGUUGAGUCUCAAAGGAAAAAUUACUUAUUAUUUAAAUAGAAAUUCUCCUAAAGAGAAAAAUAUCAUAGGAAAUCUUUAUUAAAAAAAGAGACAUAUUUCCUAAUAACAAAAAGUUUAAAAUAAUUUUUUGGUACAUUGAGAAUUUGAUACAUGGAAUUUUAAUUUCAACACUAACAGGCUUGAUAGUUUCUUGCAUGAAUUUUGCAAAUACAAUUUCGGUUGUAAAAUUUUUGUGCUUAAUAUUGGAAUUUGCAUCAUUUCGAUGGCCAAAGGAAAAAAAUUGCCCACGAUGAAAAGGUCGUUUUAGGGUGCCCAUGGAGGUGUUUGGUUUGACUUUUAAUAUGCAUAAUCUGGGUUGUCAUAAGGAACUGCAAAAUGACGUAAUGAGAUUUAAGAAAAAAAACGAAGCGUGGAGUAAUAAUAGGGAGGAAGAGAAAAGUAAGUUAUUUCUUUUUAUGAAACCUUUCCAUCCGGUUGCACUUUUGCUCAGAUAAUUUAUUACUAGCAUUAGAUUUCUGUCUCUAAAUCCAACGGUUCAGCUAGUGGACUGUUACUAACAGAAUCAGUGACUGAGCCGGACCCUCCAAAUAAAUAUAGGACGGUAACAAAUGAGGCAAGUAAAAGCGGAGUGAACGGACACAAAAUUUUUUACAUGGUUCGACAAAUUAUCUUCUGUGCUGUGUCCUUGCCUCUAAAAAAAAUAAAAAUAAAAAAAAUGUAAAAAAGCUCACUGUACUAUUUUAAAACGUUGUGGUUUAAUAGGGUGUAUAUGUCGUUUUUUCUAUUAUUAAUUACUGUUUGCAAAAGAAUUUGUAUUUAAUAUUGAGCUGAUCUAUACUCAACUCUUCAUACGUAUAGAAUAUAUGAUUAAAAUGUAAUUAGUUUUAUAUUCCUGUCUAACUAUUAAUUGUGUAUUACUGAAUCUAAAUCCGCGCAAAAAGCUUUAUGAGAUAGAGAUAGGGACAUAUAAAUGUACGUACAUACGGAAAACAUGGCAAACCGUGCCGUUGGAGAAGGAGCAAUUACAGGUGACAGCAUUCUCUUCUGGAAUCUCAGCCCAUCCCUCUUCUCCACUGCAUGGAUCUACGCUGAAGUUCCAGUCCUUCUUCCCUAGCGUAUUGGCUAUAUCUUUUAAAGCUUGUACUGCAUGCAUCAAAUUGUUACAAACACGUACGGCUAAGUUUAACUGAUAGCGUUCAACAAUAUCAGUCUGUAUAUCAGUAUACAUGCAUACAUAUAUAUAUAUAUAUAUAUGUGUGUGUGUGUGUGUGUGUAAAGUAACAAGUAUCAGCCUUCCAAAAAAUAUAUAUAUAUAUUAGCAAGUUUGAAACCAUUAUGUCCUCCGGAUUAAAUUUACUUAAUCCAGAUUUUACGACAGCAUAUAUUUAAAUAUAAGUUCCCUCUGUUCAGAGAGGUUAAUAAAAUAAAAAUGAUAUAUAAUUGCACAGACUUUCUUUCUUUCUCUCUAGCUACCAUACCUUCAUUUUCUGGCAAGAUGGCUCCAGCAGCAAGAGCGCUUACGAGGGCAAGGGCAGUAAGUGAAAGAAAAAGAAGACGAUGAAACAUUUUUUUUUUUUUUCCCUCCCCACUUUUGCUGAAGAAAUUCAGCAAUAGCUGCUUUAAUUUGAGAGUGAAAAACGAUUAAUUCGGAGAAUUGGUUGCAAAGUUUAUGAUUUUUAUUUUUUUAUAAGAGGAUGGGAAUUGAAUUCUGCGUGGAAAAAUGAAAGAAGACUUGACUUGACCCUUAGUAAAUGAUGGCAACAAGAGCGUAUUACUUUAAGUAAUGAUAGAGUCGGAACUACUUGGUACAAUAAGUAUGUAUAAAUUUGUUUUUGGCUCUAUUAUUAUUAAUUACUUUAUUCGAUUCAGAUCCUUCUAUGAUUGGAGAAAUUUGAAAGUACACCAAAAGUGCUACAUUUAAUUAAUGUGAUUUUUUAAAAAUAAAUAUACACAUAAUAUACAUACAUUAAUUGAAUGUAACUAUCACCCUAUGAUACGUCGAAUUAUUAAAUUUAAUGGCUAUUCUCUUGUUAGUUUUCCAUUUUACAAUUAUUGAUACAUAUUGUUUUGUCCGUAACAAAAAGUCAAGAGCAUGUGUGGUUGGAUGACGGUCAUAUCUUAUCAAAAUCAACUUAAUUUGAGCCCUAGGAAUCACAACUUUAAUUGCUAUGAACCAAAGAACCAUGUCUCUACCGAGAGAUUUGUUCCCUACAAUUAAUUGCUUGAAUUGAUCUGAUGACAAUUGAUUGCCUGUUUCAUAUGCCAAAAAGUAAAGCUCAAAGCUUAAGUUAGAGAAAAUCAAGGGCUUCAUUUCCAUGUUAUCAUUGAGUCUAUCUUCAAAGAUGAUCUAAUUUUUUUAUUUUUUUUUGCGUAUUAAACCAUCUGGUAUCCAAAUGCCACAUUGGUUUCGACUAAUUCAGAUUCGAGCCGAGUAGGACCACUAGGGCGGCAAAACUCUCCCAACAAAUAUUUAACGCAGCUGCAUUUCCAAGCCUCGAACCGAGGACCUUGGUUAAGCUUGAACAACCACAUAUCAAUUGAUCUACGCACUUAUUGAUAAAGAUUAUCUAAAAUUUAAAAGCGUUCACAUAUGUGUUGGACUAUUGGCACCCUUUAGAAGUCGAUUUUCAUUGGAGAGAAUUGCAAGCUUUAAUUGGUAGUUAUAUUACAAUAAAUUAAGUUGUUCAUGAAGAGCGAUCAUUGUAUUAGCUUUCAAACGCCAUUAAUUAUUAGCAGAGCCAUCAAAAAGAUGAGAGAAGUGUGUUCAUGAAAUUGAACAAUUUAGAAUAGUUUUAAUUAAGGUUAUCUUAACUAAUAGUUUAUAUAUUAUAAAAAAUAAUAAUUGAUACUUGUUUUUAAUUAAAAUUUUUAUUUUGCUUAUUUUCGAGUGAGCAACUUAAUGUUAUUUUACAAAAGAUUUUUCGUUCCCGUCGGGAGUUGAAAAUUAGAAAUAAAUAACAAUGAUAAUGAAAUUUGUUUUAAUCAAGUAUGAGAGAGUAAGAAGAAUCAGAAAAAUAAGAGGAGAGAAAAUAAAUAAAUAAAAAGGAAAGAAAGAAAAGAAAAAGGAAUUUGUGAGCAAGAGGAAUGAAAACCCAAUUGAUUUGGGGUUAAAAGAGGGAAAUUGUAACACUGCCACACUCGGGUUUGGGGUUUCAAUGUUUCAUGAAGAAUAGUUUAAAUUAAUAUUAUUUUUGUCAUUAAUGGUGGCGCUAUAAGAUAUUCAAAUUAUUUUAAGGGCGAGGUUAAUUAGAGCCAAUUUACUAAUGCUGUAACUUUUAAGACAAUUGUUGUUCUUAUAUCAAUUAAUAGAGCAAGAUAAAAGAAACAAAAUGAUAAUAUAAAUAAACACUAGAUAUUAUUUUAGUACCGGACUAAAUCAAUGUAAUUAUAUUGUGCUCUAAUCAAAGCAUGAUUAGAACUCGUUCUAAUUUAAAUGAUUCAAUGAGAUUUAACAACACUUUAAGUGAGAUUAGAUGACUCUAAUUCAAACAGUUUUACAAGAGAGAUUUUGAUAGUUAAUCCCAAAAGAAUUUAAAAAAAAAAUUGUUUGAUAUAUUAAUCACAAGAUUAUGAAAACAAUAAGAAGAUCUCUUUAUUUAUAAUAUAGUAAACAUAUUUUCACAAGUUAACUUAAAAAAGAAAGUCAAAUCACAAUUAUAAUAGAAAUAGAAGACUAAAACACAAAUCAUGAUGUGUCAAUACUAUUUUAUUAGUACGAUUAUUAAUCUUUAAUUAAACUAAUAUAAUGUCCUUAUGGCAUAAUACUAAUCAUGUAAAUUACAUGUAGGGUAUUGAAAAUUACUAGAUUUUAUUUAAAAAUAUUAGUUAUAAGUCAAAAAAUUAAAUAUCUAAACUAUUAAUAUAAACUAUGAAUAUAUAUUUAUUGGGCAAUUUGUUUAUUGUAUGUCAUAAGAGUAAAAUACAGUCAAUUAAAACUUAUGUUAACUUAAAUGAUCAAAGGAACCCUAUGUAAGAAAAUAGUUAUAAGAAUGAUUUAACAGAUUAAUUGAAAAACUUUUAUUGUUUAUUCAUAUUUAUUAAAGUAAUUUAAGCUUAUUAUAAAUAUGUUUUCCUAAGUCGAGUGGGUUUAUAUGGACAGAUGGGAUAAUAAGGUGAAAAUAUCCCCACCUAUUACGGCCCCAGAUUCACCGUGGUUUUCUAAAAAAAAAAAUUUAAUUACGACAAAUAUAACAUAUUUAUACUAAAAUAAAUAUCAAGUCCAUGUAUUAUAAUUAAUCGAAUAUUAAAUCGCGUAAUAAUUAGGUUGACGUAUUGGAAUAAAACUUCAAAUUUUUUUUUUGAAUUCAAUAAAACUUUGAACUUAAACCCGACAAGAUUAGGAAAUGAACUUACUGUCUCGUGUUGUGUUUAUAUUGGACUGUCAUAUCGCUGACCGUACCCCACACUCAUUCGUACAACGUAUUGACAUUGUUUUUUUCGAAGACGAAGUUAACACCAUGUCCCUGAUUGGAAAAUGGUUACCAAUCACGUCUUAUCAAAAAAAAGGGGAGUGAGGUGUCACUAUAUUUUUGCUCGUGGCUUGAAAUUUGAACCGACAAAUUUGGUAUAAUGGUAACAAAAAUAUUGUUAUAUUUUUAUCGGAUGUGCAUUGUUUUUAUCGUUAGGAUUUGCCUAUCUUAAGCUUCCUCUCACACAGCUUAAUAAUGGGUUUUACUAAGACUCACUGCUGCAGAGACAUAUAUAUCUUACGUUAAACGUAAGGUAGCAGCUCUCUUAUCAUUAUGGCAUGCAUCUUUUUCUUAAGAUUCUUUGUCAUUUUUCCUUAAACAGUAAUAUUCCUCGGAACCAUAGAACCUAAUUACAUACUUGCAUCUGUAAUUAAGAACACCUAUCUAGAGAUUUGUUCCCUUCAAUUCAUUGGUACGACAAUACCUCUCAAGUUAAAUAUAACCAUGAUGUGGCUCAUAAUUCACAAUUGAUUGAAUUGGUCUGAUGAUUGUUUCAUUUGUGAAAAAGUAAAGCUCAAAUUAAACUUAACUUGGAGAAAAUCAAAGACUCCAUCAUUUUCAUGUUUUUAUAGGGUCUCAUAGUUUUUCCUUGUUGGAAAUUUCGAACGUGAAAAGAAGUUAAAAACUUUUAUUAGUUUAUGUAAGAAACUGAUUUCUUUUUUAUUUAAAUCAUUUAACUUAUAUUUUUUCUAGCUUAAUUUUAAUUUAAUAAAUAAUAUUUGAACUAAAAGAUACGUGGAUCCAGAUAUCUAGCUUUCUAAAUGUACAGCUUUCAUGUAAAGAUAUUUGUAUCUGUAUCUGGAUCCGAAUAUGUACAAAUCUUUAAUAUUACAAUCUAAGUCAGCAUUUUUUAAUCUGCGGUUAAAGAUCUUUCUGGAUCUAGAUCUAUAGGAUCAUUGCGGAUAAAGGUCAGACCCGAUUUUUUUUGCCAUCCCUCGUCUUAAGUAUAUUAUUUGAGUCUGAUGUGACCGACAAUCUAAUUUGACCAAUUUAACCAUUUUAUUAGAAUUUGCUAAUUAAAAUUAAAAAAAAAAAGUUUGCUUAUGUUAUAAAUUUACAUAUGGCAACACUAAAGAGUGGCAUAAAAAAGAGAGAGAAGGCCAAAGUAAAUAUGAAAAUCUCAGCAGCUAAAAAUUCAUUAUUCUUAUUCAUUUUGUGGCUUUAUAUAGAACAAGGGGAAGGGGGUGUUAUAGUAAUUUUACAAAAUGUUGAAUCCACUAUAUUCACAAUACUCCCCCUUCAGAUUCUUCAUUUAUUUACAUAUAAUAUAAAGGCAUUAUUAGACAUGCUUAAUACUGCCUCGUUAAAACCUUACUAGUAAAAUCUAGUAGGACAAAACCUGGUUAAAAAAAAUCUAAUACAACUGUAGAAACUCCUAUUUGUAAAACAUGCUCUCUCUAAUAAAAUAUCUUCUCAAAAGUCUUGUAUCAAUUUGAUACUUUGUUGUGUUGAUGUAUGCCACUCCAAUAUCGUCAUGUUGGCACUGAGUUGAAAUUCGCCAACAAAAUCAUAAAGAAUUUAAUGUAAGGACUAGUUCAUUAAGCCAGGUACAAUAAAACACUGAUGGCAUUUAGAUAUGAUACUUUUGGACCAAGUAUCUCGUUAUCAUCCUCUUUAGGUUGUAAUGGAUUUUUGUUAGGGAUGAGAAACGAAACAAUCAUAGAAGAGCCUAGCAGAUGAGCAUUAUCCAUAUUGAAACAUUUUAAGAUUUUUAAAUAUAAACAUAUUGAUGGAUAAGCACUCCAUUUGUUUGAUGCUUGAUCUAUAGGCCAAGACAAUUCUCUAUCCUCGAAGACAUCAAGAUGAGUCAGAUCAGCAGUAUCUGAUUUAUCAAUUAAAUUAGUCUCAAUUUUUCUUAUCCCUUUCUUGGAUGCUUGGUAGAGGUCUACUAUAUGUUUAUUCGUACUGCAGGUAUGUACCAAUGUCCUUUUCUUUUGCAUUGAUAAUAAUUUCUUUAUUAUCAUAUCUAACAUUUUUCCUUUCUACAUCAUUAUCCUUAUUAUGUCUCUCAUAGACGUUCCACUUCUAGUGGUAUCCAUUUUUUUUCAUUCCACUGUCCUUAGUGCCUGUGACCACUAUGGGGGUAAUAACCACACUUUCACUUACUUACUCGAUUACGUCCAUUAUUGGUUCUUUUAUUUACAUUCAUUUCUAGGAAUGAUUGAGAACCAGUUGGAUGUAGUUAAUGAUUUUUUAUUUCAAAUUCUUUUUUUUAAAUCUUCAGAGGUUUUUAGGAGCUCUUCAAGAGUUCCAAUUAAAUUCAUAUCAUCAACAUAAAAUGUUACAAUUGCAAAUCUUGAUUUAGAUUUUUUAAUAAAUGCAUAUAGGUAAAUAGGAUCAUUUUUAUGUCCUUCUUUAAUUAAAUAUUCCCUCAAAUGCAUCCAAAUUGUUUCAAUUUAGAUAAAGAUCAUUGUAGUUUGAUUGAACAAGGAUUUCUUUAAAUCUUUAGCAGUUUUUAUGAGCUCUUCAGGAGUUCCAAUUAAGUUCAUGUCACUAACAUAAAAUGUUAUAAUUGCAAAUCUAAAUUCAGAUUUUCUGAUGAAUGCAUACGGGUAAAUGAAAUCAUUUUUAUCUCCUUCUUUAAUUAAUAUUCCCUCAAAUGCGUCCAAAUUGUUUCGAUUUGGAUAAGGGUCAUUGUAGUCUGAUUGAACACAUAUUACAAUCCUUUAAUUUAAAUGCUUCAGGCAUUUUGAAUUUUUUAAAGAUUUUUAUGUAAAUAUUAGCAUCAGCCAUCAAGUGACCUAUACAUAUAUAUAAUUACUAUAUCUAUGAUAUGCAUGUUAAGUUUUUUUUAGAUUACUAAGUUGAUUAAAAAUCAUAACAAAAUGGUACCCAUCAUAAGAGAAUACAUACUCUCAUAAUCAAUAUCAAGUCUCUAUAGGAGACUUUGUACAACUAGUCAUGCUUUGUAUCUAAUGAUUUUAUUAUGUUCAUUACAUUUCCUCACAAAUACUCAUUUAUAUCCAACAUUGAUGUCUUCAUGUGUCUGAACUACAGGUCAAUGAACUUCACGUUUAACUGGAGAAGUCAAUUCUACUGUAAUGGCUUCUGUUCAUUGAGGCCAAUCAUGCAUUUGUCUAUAUUCAUCAGUAGUUUGAAGAUCAUGAUUAUUUAGAAUGUCAGUAGCUACUAUAAACGCAAGCACAUCAUUGAUGAUAAUUUCUUUAUGAUUCCACACAUUUGUGUUUGUAAAAUCUAUAGACGUUUCUUUAUGUCUAGCCACUUCAAGGCCUUAUGCCUCAUCUCGGGCGUGUACUUCUUCAAGAAGUCUUUUAGGGUGUUUGGUCUUAUCAAGGACAAACGCUUUUAAAAAUAUUACCCUGAGUAUAGUCAACAGAAAUCUCACUAUUUUUUUAUUCAUUUGCCUCUUUAAAAAUUAUUGUCACUUUAGGGACUUGUGUCUCUUUAGGGACCAUCAGUUUAUCUAGAACUGUGAUGCAGAUAAUAAGGUAUAUUCAUAGCUUGAGCUUCAUUUUCAACAAGAUCUGAUUUUUCAUUCUCCUGUUUUGGGGAGUAUUGUCUUUGCAACGAAGUAAUCUGCCACAUUUAUGAUCUAUAACAGAUAAUUCAUUAGCUACUCAUACACUUAAUUGUUCAACAAAAACAAUCACUCGAGUUAAUGUAUUACCAGCUGGAAUAAAUGACUUGUUUACUUUUACUAAAUCUGCAUCUGGCAAUUGGUUUGCAAUUUGCUGUAAAAAUAUUAUCCUCCAUACUUCAUUUUCACAUUAACUAGUACGAGGAUCUAAUUAAGACAAUAUGAAUAAAAAAAAAUUUCCAAGACAAUUCAUGCCUUCCUUCAGGAGGUUUUCUAUUUUCUGGUGAUGGAAAAAUUGUCUCAUUAAAGUGAAAAUCUUCAAAACAUAUGGUGAAAAGUUUACUCGAUAGGGGUUCAAGAUAUCAGCAUUGUAAAAUGAUGCAAUUAUGCAAAUGCAAUAUUGCAUUGCAUAAUACAAAACAACAUAUGACCAUCACGCAAGUGAAUCAUUCAAAACCAUAAAAUAACAAACUAGUCCACUAUUUAGAUAGUUUUUUGUCCACAUAUAUCUCCCUAAAUUCUUUAUAGAAAUGAUGGAGACUCAUGACCAACCUCAGAAGGGGAAUGUGUAGCCAUAAAUUUUUCUUGUGAGCAAGUAAUACAAACAAUCUCAUUCGACAAUUGAAUCGUUUAGUUCUUUAAUGGAUCUCCAUGAUGAUUUCAUCAAUAAUUAUAUGCAUCAUCGUAGAUCCUGGGUGCCUGUUGGUUGCUUAUUGCUUUAGGUGUCAAUAUGCAAGUGUACACAAUAAGUAGUAUAAUGAUGAAUAUUCAAAUUGUCUCUAUAGGGAUUGAUAUUAUAUGACUUGCUACAACAAUCUUAAUGGUGAAAAUUCAACCUAAUUAAACUAAAAUACUAAAUGAAACUAUUAACCUAACUAAAUUGAAAAUGUAAUAAAUAGAAUGCAAUAAAGAAAAAUUCUCAAGUCAAACACAAAAAUAUAAUCAAAGGGAAAUGAGUAAUUGAGUACUUAAACUCACUUAAUGGUAUUGACUUUUUUCCAAUUAAGAUUCUGUUGCAACAACAUUUACUACAGCACUGGGCAGAAUCCCUUAUGCAUCCUCAGCUGUCACAUAUUAGAUAUCUUAUAUCUAAAUGCAACCUAACAGUGACUAAUUGUUUUUCUAAUAUUAGAUACAAUAUUACACGUUCUAGGUUCCAAUUGUCCUACAAGGUGAAUAUUUAUGUCUAGUUCUUCACUCAUCUUAGAUUAAGUAUCGCCCUAUUCAAAUCGCGAUUAACUCAACUUGGGAAACUCAAUAUAAAACCAUGUAUUGUCUUGAUUUAUUCCACUAAGUCAGACCUUUUUUAGGCUCCUUCUUAGCUACUAUCCACUAAAUCAGUGGUCAGUCGAAAUAGGGAUUUAUAAUAAAUAAAAUCAAGACAAAAUGCUACAGCAUAUUCUGAGCGACACACAUGUAUAAGUCAAAUAACCAUUAAGCUUGUUUAAUACCCAACUACAUCAAAGUUUAGUUCAUGAUAUGCGAUAAAAUACUAACAAUACUCAUUUAUGUCAUCAAACACAUUCCCAUAGAGUGAAGAAAACAAGAAAAUAAAGAUGAGGAAUUGAGUUCUGCUAGGCCUUUGCAAUCUCUCAUUCUUUUUCUUCUGGAAUCCUUUGCUGCAGCCCUCAACUAUCCCUUAUUAUUAUUUUCUUUUUUUUCUCUAUUAUUUUUCUUGAAUGACGACUUUCCCUCUUCUUCUUUCACGUGUGCUCUUUUUAUAUCUUGAAAUUAGGGCAACUAAAAGUAUGUGGCCACAAAUUUAUUUUUUAAAAACCUCGGAUCGCAUAUUUUUUUGUGCCGCCCGUCGUUGCUUUGUCAGUUAACAAAUGCGUAAUCUUGUUUGCAGUUGCUCCCGAAUUGCUGUAGCAAUGGCUACAACAUCUUUUCUAAUUUAAACUUAUUUUAGUUCAUCUGCAGACAAAUUCUUUCUUUGUCAUCUCUGUAAGUUUGCUGCUGUAGCAUGCCAUCCGUAAAACUUGAGUUUUUUGACACCUACAACCAUGCAUAAGUAAUAUUAGCUUAAGUCUUAAAAUGUCAUGUUAACUCUCACUUCAUAAAGUUAUCAAACCCCCAAACUUAAACCAUCACUUGUCCUCAAGUAAUGACAAUAAUACUAACACUUUACUCACACAAUCAUGCAACAAACAACUUAACUCUAUCAUCUAACUUGGUCGGAUUCAUCAACCCUUAAAUUUCAUCCUUAAAUAUGCGAAAUCACCAUCAAUAGUUCCAGUUCUAGCUUAGGUCUUAUUCUGUCCAGGUGUGUGUGUGGAACUUUGAUUAAGUUCCAGAGUUGCUGCAGCAUCACACAAGAUCAAAUAUAACUCAAAGAUAAAAUAAAAGACAAUUCUAUUUAUGGGGGAAUAAGAGUAAAAAACGGCUCCAAACUGUGCUACAACAAUUAUCAUUUUCUUUCCAUUUUUUUUUCUCAAGUCAUACCCUUAAGUGUAACAUGGAUUUUUCAUAUGAGUGCCUAUCACUUGUAAUGAUGACACCCAAUUACUUAACCAAUGUACAAAUUAGAGUUGCUGCAGUAUAAACAUUUAAGAUGUUAUAACAUAGUCUUAUCUUUAGACACUUUCGACUCAAAGCUGAACAUGAGGCUCAUGAACAGACAUAGAUACUCAAUAUCCUAGACAGAGGACCUAUCUUGCUUUUUGGAUUGUUACAACAAUGCUCAUAACUCUUGCUGCUUUUUUACUCAAGUCUACAUUUGGGGUAUAUAUUCAGCCCUGGUUACUCAGCAAUUGAGUCAUUGGAGCAUAAUUUUAUUUCAGGUUCCCCUAGAAUACAGUUUGUGACAAUUCUUAAACAUUUUUUCAGGUUCCCCUAAACUUGAGAUAUUUUUAACCCUUUGCUCUACCUGAUUUUGUUACAGCAUACUCACAAAACUCAACCAAAGCCUAAGUAUUAAGACAUAAUUCCAACGCCCAUUUAUAAACUGUCUCUACUUGGAAGUUAUUUGUCUUACAUUUCAUCACUCAAUUCAUCCUCAUUGGGUUUUCUAAUCAAAUACAAAUGCUAGACAAACAGAAGUGCACACAUAAUACAAACACAUACCUUCAUAGGCACAUUACACCAUAAUACAGCCCCUCAAACUUAAGAGGUGUUGUGUCCUCACAUGCAUUCAACAUAAAUUAAAAACAAACAUGUAUACACUUAAAAUAAAAAAAAAUGCAAAAUAAACAUGAUAAAAUAAACAAAAGAAAAGAAAAGAUUUAGAAAUUACAAAGCUAAAGUGGGCUGACAAGGGACACUCCCCUAUUGUUGGAAACUAUGCUGAAGCAUAUGUUGUAAAGGGUCAUUAUUUCUUUGAUCCAUUUCUCAAAUGCUCCUUUGGUGAACUCAGUGGUGUAACAAUUAGCUGUUUCUUCUUCUGGCUUUUGGUUAGACUGGUUGGAGGGGUUCCAGCAGCUUCUGUAACAUUGGGUAGAGUUGGCUUUGUUUUCUUGGGUUCUGGUUCUUCUGGUUCUCUCAAUGCUGCAAUACCUCCAGAAAGUGUGCCUCUUUUCUCUUGCUGGGUGCCCUUAGAGUUGGGACAGGAGAUUUUGUAGGAGUUUUCUUUACAGUGGCUGGUGAAGGAGUUGUAGUUGUUGGUUGCUCAGCAGUAAUGGG
Molecule: long non-coding RNA, 77898 nt
Filed under: Citrus sinensis (sweet orange)
Lineage: Eukaryota; Viridiplantae; Streptophyta; Magnoliopsida; Sapindales; Rutaceae
Description: long non-coding RNA (CSIN_LNC002026)
Source: RNAcentral